Molecule: long non-coding RNA, 76829 nt
Filed under: Triticum aestivum (bread wheat)
Lineage: Eukaryota; Viridiplantae; Streptophyta; Magnoliopsida; Poales; Poaceae
Description: long non-coding RNA (TAES_LNC020679)
Source: RNAcentral
GUGGCAAGUUUGGUUCUAUGUAUGAGAUGGUUCUCUGGACUAUGAAACUAGUAUACUAUAUACAAGUUCACUUUAAAGUUACAUUUGUAUGAUUACUAUGUUUAUAUUUGCGCUUCAUUAUUAAUGUUGAUUGGUGGUUCAGAAGUUUGGGCCUAUUUUUAUAGGAGCUGUAUCCAAACACCAGAUUUUGAUUUCCACACUUAGGCACAAGCUUGCUCAGGCUUCAAAAAAUUUCUGGCUCCGCCACUGCUAGAUGAUGCAAGAGUAGUACUAACUUAGGAGUAGUAGAUACGCUAGAUAAUGCUCCAUUUCAAACUAGAUAAUGCUCCAUUUCAAACUAGAUAGUGCUGACAGAGAUGACGAUGGACAAUGUGAGUCUGCCUUGCCGAUAUUUUCACUUAGGCCUUCUCGGCAUGGCUUCUUGCAGGCCUCCCCUCCAACUCCCCUCCCUCUUUCUCCAUGCUAUGCAGCACCACCUCUUUGUGCUCACAUUGGAUGUAGCUACCAAGCCCUAACCAACCCUGAUGGCCCAUCGUGGUGGCUGCAGAGCUCAUUAGAGUGUAGAUUGGAUACACCGUGUUUCAACUGCAACUUUUUUGAGUAACAAGAAGUUUAUUUUCUAGCUUCUGUAUCUGCUCCCAAUUUAUUUUUACACCUUAAUAAUCUACUUCUAUGUAUGCAGCUGGAAGUGGAUAAGUCUGGCAAAAGCAACAAUGCGAUCACGUGCUAGUCUCGAGGGGUAAUACUUAUGCAUCUUUCGCUUGGCUAUUGCUAUAUGAUAUUAUUUAUAUAUUUCUUUUUGCUGUGCUUAUUUGUUUGUUUGAUUUGUCACCUCUGCAUAUCAUUUAGGAUGUAUUUACAGAGGGGUUAACUUUUACCUUAACUUUUUUUGCUGUACAAUCCUCCGGUUCUCAAUUAUGUUUGUGCAUUCUUUCUUUUAUUCUAGGUUCUCAAUUAGUGCAAUCCAUUCCUUUCGGUGCACUUGAAGAGUACGGUUUAGUGAAGCAAGUAACAAUAUUACAGAUUAUUGUUUUGCCAUAUUUGCCCAUGAAAGAUUUUUGUAUUUGAAGCGCAAAUAAUUUCUGCUCAAUCAAAUUAUGUACGUGAUAAUCAUUGCUUGUUGUGAUGAUGAAGUGUUGCACAUUUGGAAGAGUUUUGUGCCGACGAGUUAAACUUCAGCACGUCGAAAUCUUUAAUACGUUGAUUUAAAAUCUGAAACGAUAGCACCAUUUUUGAGUUUCUAAUUUGUUGCAGAUUUCUCAAAGAUACACAAGCUGAUGGUGGUUCGGAAGAUGUACAAGUUGCUGGAGGUUUGGAAGAUCUACAAGUUGCUGGAGUGACAAUAUAUAUGUAAUAUACCUUAGUUGUUGAACCUUGAGACAUCGGCAAGUUUUAUACUGCAUUUGGUUGGUUGUUUCAGCACACAAGCCAUUGUAUGCUUAUUUUGGUUGUGUGGCACGAUUUCUUUAGCUUAAACAUAUUUACUUUGCCUUCUGAGGCACAAUGUCAUUAGAAACGUAUAUUUUUAUCUGUUUUAUGUUAUUGAAUGAGGCCUUACAUGUAAUCUGAUUGAGUUGUAUGUAUAAGUUUUGUGAUCUGUCAUGUCUAUUCGAACAUAAUGAUUGGAUAUUAAAUGAGGGAUAUCUUGCUAGAACAAUUUAUAUUGCUUCCGAGAAAGCACGUCAUGGCAUAUUACCUGCCAGGUAAACGUGCUUGUGCAGGCAGCGGAAUUGCCAGCAAACUGUAGUGCAUAUGCUAGGAUGAAUCUGCCGGGAGAACAUAAACUGCCGGCAGAUAUAAUGGUCGGGGCAGAAGAACUGCCGGGGAUUGUUUAUCUGCCGGGAUAAGUAAUCCCCGGCAGCCGUUGUUGUGGCAGUUCUAUCUGCCGGGAGAAUCUCCGUCCCGACAGUCUAUCUGCCCUUUUAAGUGCGUUCUCCCGGCAGAUUAUAUGUCGGUGCAUUAGUGUUGUGGUGUAGUGAUAUUGCUAAGCUUCCUUUACAUGAUUUGUGAUACGUCUCCAACGUAUCUAUAAUUUUUUAUUGUUCCAUGCUAUUAUAUUAUCUAUUUUGGAUGUUAAUGGGCUUUAUUUUACAUUUUUAUAUUAUUUUUGGGACUAACCUAUUAACCGGAGGCCCAGCCCAAAUUGCUGUUUUUUUGCCUAUUUCAGUGUUUCAUAGAAAAGGAAUAUCAAAUGGAGUCCAAACGGAAUGACACCUUCGGGAACGUGAUUUUUGGAACAAACGUGAUCCAGAGGACUUGGAGUGGACGUCAAGCAAUCAACGAGGCGGCCAUGAGGCAGGGGGCGCGCCUACCCACCUAGGUGUACCCUCCCCCCUCAUGGGCCCCUCGUUGCUCCACCGACCUACUUCUUCCUCCUAUAUAUGUUCACAUACCCCGCAAACAUCCAGGAGCACCACGAAAACCUAAUUCCACCGCCGUAACCUUCUGUACCCAAGAAAUCCCAUCUUGGGGCCUUUUCCGGAGCUCCGCCGGAGGGGGCAUUGAUCACGGAGGGACUCUACAUAACUCCAUGGCCCCUCCGGUGAUGUGUGAGUAGUUUACUUGAGACCUUCGGGUCCAUAGUUAUUAGCUAGAUGACUCUUCUCUCUCUUUGGAUCUCAAUACAAAGUUUUCCUCGAUCUUCUUGGAGAUCUAUUCGAUGUAACUCUUUUUGCGGUGUGUUUGUCGAGAUCCGAUGAAUUGUGGGUUUAUGAUCAAGUCUAUCUAUGAACAAUAUUUGAAUCUUCUCUGAAUUAUUUUAUUUAUGAUUGGUUUAUCUUUGCAAGUCUCUUCGAAUUAUCAGUUUGGUUUGGCCUACUAGAUUGAUCUUUCUUGCAAUGGGAGAAGUUCUUAGCUUUGGGUUCAAUCUUGCGGUGCUCGAUCCCAGUGAUAGAAAGGGAAAUGACACAUAUUGUAUUGUUGCCAUCGAGGAUAAAAAGAUGGGGUUUACAUCAUAUUGCAUGAGUUUACCCCUCUACAUCAUGUCAUCUUGCUUAAGGCGUUACUCUGUUCUUAUGAACUUAAUACUCUAGAUGCAUGCUAGAUAGCGGUUGAUGUGUGGAGUAAUAGUAGUAGAUGCAGAAUCGUUUCGGUCUACUUGUCUCGGACGUGAUGCCUAUAUACAUGAUCAUGCCUAGAUAUUCUCAUAAUUAUUCACUUUUCUAUCAAUUGCUCGAUAGUAAUUUGUUCACCCAUCAUAAUACUUAUGCUAUCUUGAGAGAAGCCACUAGUGAAACCUAUGGCCCCCGGGUCUAUUUUCCAUCAUACAAGUUUCCAAUCUAUUUUAUUUUGCAAUCUUUUACUUUCAAUCUAUAUCAUAAAAAUACCAAAAAAAACUUAUCUUAUUAUUAUCAUUUCUAUCAGAUCUCACUCUUGCAAGUGGCCGUGAAGGGAUUGACAACCCCUUUAUCACAUUGGUUGCGAGGUUCUUAUUUGUUUGUGUAGGUACGAGGUGACUCGUGCGUGGUCUCCUACUGGAUUGAUACCUUGGUUCUCAAAAACCGAGGGAAAUACUUACCUUGCUUUACUGCACCACCCUUUCCUUUUGAAGGGAAAACCAACGCAGUGCUCAAGAGGUAGCAAGAAGGAUUUCUGGCACCGUUGCCGGGGAGAUCUACGCCAAGUCAAGAUAUACCAAGUACCCAUCACAACUCUUAUCCUUCGCAUUACAUUAUUUUCCAUUUGCCUCUCAUUUUCCUCUCCCCCACUUCGCCCUUGCCGUUUUAUUCGCCCUCUUUUCCUUUCGCCCUCUCUUUCCGUUCACCUCUUUUUCGCUUGCUUCUUGUUUGCUUGUGUGUUGGAUUGCUUGCUUGUCACGAUGCUCAAGAUAAUACUAAAUUGUGUGACUUUACCAAUACCAACAAUAAUUAUUUUAUUAGCACGCCGAUUGCUCCUCUUACCGAUGCUGAAUCUUGUGAAAUUAAUACUACUUUGCUGAAUCUUGUCAUGAAAGAUCCAUUUUUUUGCCUUCCUAGUGAAGAUGCCGCUACCCAUCUAAACAACUUUGUUGAUUUGUGUUAUAUGCAAAAGAAGAAAGAUGUGGACAACGAUAUUGUUAAACUUAAGCUAUUUCCGUUUUUGCUUAGAGAUCGUGCUAAAGCUUGGUUUUCGUCUUUGCCUAAAAAUACUACUGAUUCAUGGAAUAAGUGCAAAGAUGCUUUUAUCUCUAAGUAUUUUCCUCCCGCUAAGAUCAUCUCUCUUAGAAACAAUAUUAUGAAUUUUAAGCAACUUGAUCACGAACAUGUUGCACAAGCUUGGGAGGGGAUGAAAUUAAUGAUACGUAAUUGCCCUACACAUGGAUUGAAUUUAUGGAUGAUUAUACAAAAGUUUUAUGCCGGAUUGAAUUUUGCUUCUAGAAAUCUUUUAGAUUCAUUCACGGGAGGCACUUUUAUGGAAAUCACUUUAGGAGAAGCUACCAAACUCCUACAUAAUAUUGUGGUUAAUUAUUCUCAAUGGCACACUGAAAGAUCUACUAGUAAAAAGGUGCAUGCAAUUGAAGAGAUUAAUGUUUUGAGUGGAAAGAUGGAUGAACUUAUGAAAUUGUUUGCUAAUAAGAGUGCUCCUACUAAUCCUAAUGAUAUGCCUUUGUCUACUUUGAUUGAGAAUAAUAAUGAAUCUGUGGAUGUGAAUUUUGUUGGUAGGAGCAAUUUUGGUAAUGACGCGUCUAGAGGUAAUUUUAAUUCUAGGACUUUUCCUAGUAAUUCCUAUAAUAAUUAUGGUAAUUCCUACAACAAUUCUUAUGGAAAUUAUAAUAAGAUGCCCUCUGAUUUUGAAUCUAGUAUUAAAGAAUUUAUUACUUCGCAAAAGAGUUUCAAUGCUUUGAUUGAAGAAAAAUUGCUUAAUAUUGAUGAGUUGGCUAGGAACAUGGAUAGAAUUUCUCUUGAUGUUGAUUCUUUGAAACUUAGAUCUAUUCCACCUAAGCAUGAUAUCAAUGAGUCUCUCAGAGCCAUAAGAAUUUCCAUUGAUGAGUGCAAAGAAAGUGUCGGAUUUCGGGUUCCGGCAGACCCUUGAGGUUCGAACACUAGGGUGCGCGCGGAGCUUUCGUCUCCUACCUACCUGCACCCCUCCGCCUUGCUAGGAUCUAAACUAAGGAAAGAACAACACAAGAGACACAGGGUUUAUACUCGUUCGGGCCACCGUUGUGGUGUAAUACCCUACUCCAGUGUGUGGUGUGGUGGAUUACCUCUUGGGCUGAUGAUGAUGAACAAUACAAGGAAGAACAUCCUCGCGAGGGUCUGUUCUUGGCUGGGCGAUGAACUGCUGGGAGGAGCUCAGUCACCUUUCUCUCUCUCUCUCUCUCUCUCUCUCUCUCUCUCUCUCUCUCUCCGUCCGUCCUCCCCCCUGUCUAGCGGGUGGCUGGUCCUAUUUAUAGGGGCCUUGGUCCUUUUCCCAAAUAUCGAGCGGGAGGGGAGCCAACAAUGGCGGGCUAAUUUGAAAGGGGACAGCUAGUACUAGCUAUCCUGACAAAAGUAGUCUUCACCUGCGCAAAGCUCUGGUGAUGACGCCGUCUUGGGCUCCACGGUGACCACCGUCUCGUAGUCCUCCUGGUCUUGGUCUCGUUGCACCGAAAUGGCAACCUUUGCCUGAUGCCUUGGUACUCCGCGGCUGCGCUUGCCCCCCUUGCACCAAAGAGGGAAGGAGGACACUUCGCGGGCUGGCACCCGCCUGGCGCCCUCGAUCGUCAUGGCUUGCGUCACGGGCACCUUGUGAGGUACCCCGCCUUGAUCUCUCCGCCUCCUCGUGAGCCAGCCUAACGAGGCCAUGCCUGAGGAGGCUUCGUGUCGUCCGCCCCGCGAGGCUUGGCCCCUCGCGAGGGUCUUGGGUUUGUGUUGGUGAAGAUGGGCCGUGCUGGGCCUCCCUCCGAGCCACGCCGCAGGCCGCAGGCAGGCAAGUCUAGGGACCCCCGUUCCCAGAACGCCGACAGUAGCCCCCGGGCCCAAGGCACGCCCGGACUUGGCCGUGCAGGGAGGCGGAAGGCGAAGAGCGAAGCGCCACGGGCCCUAACAGCCUGCGGCCUUGGGCGCCACGUGGCGGUUGAUCGGACGUGGGCGCCUCCACUUCCCCAUGGUGCCUCAGUAACUACACGGAUUGGAAAAGUCCCUGCAUGAAAGCGGGUCAUAAUUACCUGCGACCGUGGGGGCCGUUGGUUGGCCAUCGCCAGCUAUAAGUAUGGACCGGCGCGCGCCCUUCCAGUUCAUCCUCCCUUGAUUCUCCUUUUUCUUCAUGGCCCCGUCGAGGAGGUUCUCGGCCGCAGAGAAGGGGAAGGCUCGCCAGGUUGAGCCCGCCUCUUCCCCGCCCAUGCGCGGCCGAGGGCGCCCUCGCAAACAUCAUGUGGCCACCAUGGUGGCUCCUCGCGGCCGCGGAGGCAAUCUUCAGUACAGCGACGGGCGGAUUGCCGCGGCCGGGGGGUGCGCUCUGGCUGCGCGUCCCCCUAGGCCGCGCUCUCGCGCUGCUGAAGUGCUGCCGGAGUUUGUCGUGUGGUCGGCGGAGCCGACUAGCACCCGGCUUCCACUUCCUCGCUUCCUCCUUGGCGAGCUCCCGGCCGGCGCCCCGUGCGGCCUCUGGCUCCAGGCCGACGGCUGCUGCAGCCGGGCCUCAUGGGUCUCACUGGAGGUCUCCGCGGCCGGGAGCCUGUCCCUGGCCCGCGGUUGGCAAACGUUUGCCCGCGCGCGUGGCCUGAGCCGUCGAUGCACCCUACACUUCAGGUUCGACGGCGAUGCCACCCUCUACGUGAGGGUGUUUGGGGAAGAUGGUCGCCGCGCAGGGUGUUUCCUCGAGGGUGAUGACCGCGGCUAGGAACCCAGCUCCGGCGAUGAUGGAGAGGGCAGCGCUCGCACGGCUGGCGGCGCUCGAGGUUCCUCAAGCUUCUCCGGUUCUUCUUCAGGCGGCGACUCUUCUAGUGGUGGCCGCGGGCAGCCUCCACGCCGUCGUAUCUGCUUGGGAGGUGGCAACGUGUCCGCCCGCCAUCACGCCCUGGUGAAGCGCGAGAGGGAGUCAGCCUGAGCUUAGGCAGCUCGGACCUUCCCUGUGGGCUGGUGUGAGGCGAGCUGCACCAGAUUUGUCCUUUCUUUUCCUUUUUCCUGCAUAACAAAGACAGUAGCGUGGAGCCCCGCGGGGGCGUGUUUGGGUUAUUGCUGUUAAUCAUCGUUUUGCUUUCGUUAUUGUACCUUCCGGCUACGUGCCCGCGCGUGGAUAAUUCCCGACCCCGGCCGUGGGGGGCGACCGACCCAGACCCUUUGUUUGUGUCGCGGUGCCCAUGGGACACGGACUGGAGGGGUGCUCCUAUGAUGGGCCCAGGUCGCGAACCCUUUGAAUGACCAGGGUAGGAACACUCGCGAGGGCGCUAGGCUGCCCCCCUCGCGAGGCCUUGCACAAGAGAAAUCGAGGUAGGAGAGCGAAAAGUCGGAGAACCACAAGCCAAAGACGGCAACAACUUCAAUAAAACUUUGAAUGAGAAGGAACGAGCCAACUGCGGAAAGCAAAUGAAAAGCCGCGUCCGGCACCUAAUCUAGUCUUCGACGUCUUCUCACCAGCGCGGAGCUAAGUGCUGCCACUAGGUGUGGGAGGGAGCCCCAGGGCCUGAGGCCGGCGCUCCUGAGACUCCGGGGCGUGUACAGCCCCAACUCAUUAUUACGUGAGAGUGUCAUGGGCGGUGAGCUUCACAGGCGUUGGCCUUCUUCAUAGGCUCCGGGCCUUUUCCAAACGCGAUAGCUUCAUAGGCAUUCGCCUUCUUCACAGGCUCCGGGCCUUUUCCAAAACGCGAUAGCUUCACAGGCAUUCGCCUUCUUCACAGGCUCCGGGCAUUUUCCAAAACGCGAUAGCUUCACAGGCAUUCGCCUUCUUCACAGGCUCCAGGCCUUUUCCAAAACGCGAUAGCNNNNNNNNNNNNNNNNNNNNNNNNNNNNNNNNNNNNNNNNNNNNNNNNNNNNNNNNNNNNNNNNNNNNNNNNNNNNNNNNNNNNNNNNNNNNNNNNNNNNNNNNNNNNNNNNNNNNNNNNNNNNNNNNNNNNNNNNNNNNNNNNNNNNNNNNNNNNNNNNNNNNNNNNNNNNNNNNNNNNNNNNNNNNNNNNGCAUUCGCCUUCUUCACAGGCUCCGGGCCUUUUCCAAAACGCGAUAGCUUCACAGGCAUUCGCCUUCUUCACAGGCUCCGGGCCUUUUCCAAAAUGCGAUAGCUUCACAGGCAUUCGCCUUCUUCACAGGCUCCGGGCCUUUUCCAAAACCCGAUAGCUUCACAGGCAUUCGCCUUCUUCACAGGCUCCGGGCCUUUUCCAAAACGCGAUAGCUUCACAGGCAUUCGCAUUCUUCACAGGCUCCGGGCCUUUUUAGGGGUAGAACCUCAGGAGGUGCUGGAUGUUCCAUGCGUUCUAGACUGGCACCCCCUCCUGAGUCUCCAAGCGCGCGGAGCCGGGCCUGGAAACAUGAACAACUUCGAACGGGCCCUCCCACAUGGGAGAGAGCUUGUGCAGCCCCUCCCUGGAGAGAACCCGCCUGAGCACGAGGUCUCCUACCUCGAGAGUUCUGGGGCGGAUGUUGCGGCAGUGAUAUCGCCGCAGUGCUUGUUGGUACCUCGCCGCUCGUAGCGCGGCUUCUCGGCGAUGUUCCUCCCCCAGCACAAGGUCCAUCCCCCGCAUGGCAUCCUGCUGCGCCUCGGCGAACGCCAGGACCCGCGCGGAGCGACAUCUGACCUCGUGAGGGAGGAUCGCUUCGGCUCCGUAGACCAGGAAGAACGGGUCUCUCCAGUCGGCUUGGUCGCGGUUGUGCGGAUGGACCACAACACGGACUGAAGCUCGUCGUACCAACCUCUACCGCAGGCCUCCAGCUUCUUCUUGAACGUCCUGGUCUUGAGGCCCCUCAGGACCUCCGUGUUGGCUCGCUCGGCCUGGCCGUUGCUUCGGGGGUGCGCCACCGAAGCGUAGCAUAUCUGCGUUCCAAGGUUAGCACAGUAUGUUUUGAAGAGGUUACUGGUGAACUGCGAACCGUUGUCCGUGAUGAUGCGAUUCGGCACCCCGAACCGGCUCACGAUGCCCUUGAUGAACUUGACAGCGGAACCCGCGGGAAUGGUGCGGACAGCCUCUACUUCAGCCCACUUGGUGAACUUGUCCACGGCGACGUAGAGGUAGCGGUAGCCCCCGGGCGCCCGAGGAAACGGGCCCAAAAUGUCCAGCCCCCAGAUUACGAAUGGCCAUGAAAGGGGUAUAGUCUGCAAGCCUCCAGCUGGCUGAUGGAUCUGCUUGGCGUGGAACUGGCAGGCCUCACAAGCUUUCACUAGUUCGACAGCGUCAUUGAGCGCGGUGGGCCAAUAAAACCCACUGCGGAACGCCUUGCCGACAAGGGUCCGUGAUGAUGAAUGAUGUCCACAGUCUCCGCCGUGUAUAUCUUCCAGCAGUUCCUUCCCUUGCUCCCUGGAGAUGCAGCGCAGGGAUACAUCGUUUGGCCUCUUCCGAUAGAGCUCUCCAUCCUUGAUGCAGUAUGCCGUGGCCUGGCGUGCCACUCGCUCCGCUUCCUCCUCCUUCUCCGGCAGGGCCCCUUGCGUUAGGUAACUCUGGAGCUCCGUGAUCCAACAUCCCUCCUGAGGUUCCAUCGUCAGGAGCAGGCGUGCUCCUGAGGCUGGGCCACAGGCCGGAGCCCCUGGGGCAGGUGGCUGGGGGAGCUCCUCCCGGGGCUGAGCUGUGUUCGACAAUGAUGGCAGGGCUGAGGGCUUGAAGAGCCGCUCCUCGAAAACGCCAGGCUCCUGAGGUAACCGCCUGGACGCCCGUUUGGCGAUGUCGCCGGCCUCCUGGUUGGUGCCACGGGGCACAUGCUGCAACUCCAACCCCCAGAACUGCUUCUCCAUCCUACGGACCUCCGCUAGGUAGGCUUCCAUGUGCUCAUCCUUUGGCUCGUACACCUUGUUGGAGAAAUUGACAAGGAUCUGCGAGUCGCCCUCGAUGGUGAGGCGUUUCACCCCCAGGGCAGCCGCGGCCUUCAAGCCCGCUAUUAAACCUUCAUACUCCGCUAUGUUGUUGGAGACCUUUUCACCUUGCUGGAAGCAGAGCUGCACGGUGUAGUAGAGCUUGUCCUGACUGGGCGAUAUAAGCACCGCCCCAGCCCCAGCGCCAUGCCUGGAGAACGCCCCAUCGAAAUACAUGACCCAGCCUUCUGGCGCUUCACUUCCCAGGGACAGGGACCAAUCCUCGCCGGCCUUGAGGCCUGGCGCCUCCGUCCAUUCUGCCACAAAAUCCGCCAACGCUGCUCCUUUGAUGACUCUGGUCGUGCUGAAUUCGAGCUGAAACGCUUGCAGUUCUAUGUUCCACUCAGCGACCCUUCCAGCUGAAUUAGGGCUCCUGAGCACUCUCUCCAGGGGGUAUGAUGAGACGACCUUGAUGGGGUGACCCUGAAAAUAGUGUUGUAGCUUGCGCGAGGCCACCAGUAGAGCAAGGAGGAGUUUUUGAGGCAUGGGGUACCGCGCCCUUGCAUCCCGCAACACCGUGCUGACGAAGUACACUGGGUGCUCAACGAGGUGGGGUGCGUCAGUGCUGGUGGCUCCCUUCGGAGACCAUGGCGCCUCUUGAGGCAAUGAGACCUCCUAAGACUGGCCAUCUGGGAGAGGGGCCCCUUCCGCCUCCGGUGCGCCCCUCUGCGGCGGCUGAUCCUCCUCAGCCGCGGUGGCAGUUUCUGCGGGCCUUCCUUGUCCCUGUUCUGCCUUGUCCCGAGCUGCUACCGCGGUUUUGAUUCAGCGCUCCUCUCUGACUGCCACCAAGGCUGCGCUGGCGGAGUAGGGAGUGGCGGCGAUGUAAAGCACCAGGGGCUGUUGAGGGCGCGGAGCCACCAUGACCGGUGGGCUGGUCACGUAUCUCUUGAGAUCCUAGAACGCCUUGUCGGCCUCUUCAAUCCACUCGAAGGGCCCCUUUUUCUUCAUUAGCUGGAAGAAAGGCAGUGCUCGUUCCCCCAACUUGGAGAUGAAGCGCCCUAGCGCGGUCACGCGCCCCGUGAGCUUCUGCAUUUCUCUGAGGGUCUUUGGCGGGCUCAUGUCUUCCACCGCCUUGACCUUCUCCGGGUUAGCCUCGAUGCCUCAGUGGGACAUGAGGAAACCCAAGAGCUUGCCCAGGGAGACUCCGAACACACACUUCUCUGGGUUGAGCCGUAGGUUCACUGUGUUGAGGCUCGCGAAGGUUUCCUCCAAGUCUUGUAUCAAGGUCCUGGCCUCCCAAGACUUUACCACAAUGUCAUCGACGUAAGCCUCAACAUUCUUCCCGAGCUGCGGGCCCAAGGUGAUGUGCAUCAGCCACUGGAAGGUCGCCCCUGCGUUACGCAGCCCAAAUGGCAUGCAUGUGUAGCAGUACACUCCACAUGGGGUUAGGAAGGCUGUCUUCUCGACGUCUUCUACCGCCAUCUUGAUCUGGUGAUACCCGGAGAAUGCAUCCAAGAAGCAUAACAGGUCGCAUUCCGCAGUGGAAUCGACGAUCUGGUCGAUGCGGGGGAGCGGGAAUGGAUCUUGCGGGCAUGCUUUGUUGAGGUUGGUGAAGUUGACACACAUGCGCUCCUUCCCUCCCUUCUUUGGCACAACGACAGGGUUGGCCAACCAAUCCGGGUAUCGGACCUCGCGAAUGACCCCUGCGGCUUCUAAUUUGCGGGUCUCUUGGACGAUGAAGGCCUGCUUUUCUGUGUACUGCCGCCUGGCCUUCUGCUUCACAGGGCGCACAUUGGGGCAUACGUUGAGGUGAUGCUCGAUUACACCCCUAGGGAUCCCUGCCAACUAGUCAGGCUCCCAAGUGAAUACCUUCUUGUUUGCGCGCAGGAACCCAACCAGGGCCUUCUCCUGCUCAGGUUUGAGGUGGGCGCCUAUGGUGAAGGUGGCGUUGGUGGACCCGUCCUCAUCGACGGGUAUCUGCUUGGUUUCUUCCUUGUCUUGGGUGAACAACUGUUUCUUCUUGGCGGGUGCAGCCCCCUUGGGCCCGGGGGUCUCCAAGUCGGCGGGUUGUGCCGACGCCGCCGUCUUGAAGGCGAGCUUGAGCGCCCGCAGCGCGUCUCCGGUGUUGCCGUGCACAGUGAGGACACCGCUGCUCCCGGGCAUCUUCAUGAGGUUGUACGUCGGGUGCGUCGCGGCCAUGAACUGGGCCAGCACUGGGUAGCCGAGGAUGGCGUUGUAGGGGAGGCCGAUGGGGGCGAUGUCGAAGUCGACCAGCUCCGUGCGGAAGUUGUCGUAGGUGCCAAAGGUUACUGGGAGUCGGAUCUGUCCCAAGGAGCUGGACGACUCGCCCCCAACGCCUGAGAAGGGCCAGCUGGGUUGCAGUCGUUCCAGGGGUAUGCAGAGGAGGUUGAAGGCCUCGACCGAGAGCAUGCUGAGGCCCGCGCCGCCAUCAAUGAGGGUCCUGGUGACGGCCACCUGGCAGAUGGUGGGGGUGCACAGCAUGGGGAGCGCACCCGAGCAGGCCGAGUUGGAGGGGUGGUCCUCCGAGCUGAAGGUCAGGCCGGUCUCGGGUGCCGCCCGGUCCAGGGGAGCCCCCUGCCGCGUGGAAGAGGCGCUGACCCGGCGGAUGAACGGCUUGACGUGGUGACUUGUAGGCGGCGCCUGCGAGCCGCCCAAGAGGGUCGCGACGACCGGGGGUGUUGGUGCAGCGCGAUGGGCAGGGGAGAGGUUGCGAGGCUCCAUGGGCGCGCGGAGCGCGCGGGACGAAGAACCAGCUGGGGUGAGCGAGGGAGUUGCGGUGCGGCCGCCUUGUUGCACGAACAGAUGCUGGGACGAUGCUUGCCGCUCGUCCCUCGCCGGGCUGGUGGCAGCGUUGACGGCAGGUGACGGGGAACGGUGAGGACGCCCGCCGACAGGGGCCGUCUGGGCGACGCGGGAAACGAGCGUGGCCCGACGCUCGGCGCGGGCCCGACGAGCGUCAGACAUGGGCGUGAUGGUCGGAGGAGAACGGGGUGGUGGAAGACGAAUCCCGGUGCGCCAAAUGUCGGAUUUCGGGUUCCGGCAGACCCUUGAGGUUCAAACACUGGGGUGCGCGCGGAGCUUUCUUCUCCUACCUACCUGCACCCCUCCGCCUUGCUAGGAUCUAAACUAAGGAAAGAACAACACAAGAGACACAGGGUUUAUACUAGUUCGGGCCACCGUUGUGGUGUAAUACCCUACUCCAGUGUGUGGUGUGGUGGAUUGCCUCUUGGGCUGAUGAUGAUGAACAAUACAAGGAAGAACAGCCUCGCAAGGGUCUGUUCUUGGCUGGGCGAUGAACUGCUGGGAGGAGCUCAGUCACCUUUCUCUCUCUCUCUCUCUCUCUCUCUCUCUCUCUCUCUUUCUCUCUCUCUCUCUCUCUCUCUCCGUCUGUCCUCCCCCUGUCUAGCGGGUGGCUGGUCCUAUUUAUAGGGGCCCUGGUCCUCUUCCCAAGUAUCAAGCGGGAAGGGAGCCAACAAUGGCGGGCUAAUUUGAAAGGGGACAACUAGUACUAGCUAUCCUGACAAAAGUAGUCUUCGCCUGCGCAAAGCUCUGGUGAUGACGCCAUCUUGGGCUCCACUGUGACCUCCAUCUCGUAGUCCUCCUGGUCUUGGUCUCGUCGCACCGAAAUGGCAACCUUUGCCUGAUGCCUCGGUACUCCGCGGCUGCGCUUGCCCCCCUUGCACCAAAGAGGGAAGGAGGACACUGCGCGGGCUGGCACCCACCUGGCGCCCUCGGUCGUCAUGGCUUGCGUCACGGGCACCUUGUGAGGUACCCCACCUUGAUCUCUCCGCCUCCUCGUGAGCCAGCCUGACGAGGCCGUGCCUGAGGAGGCUUCGUGCCGUUCGCCCCGCGAGGCUUGGCCCCUCGCGAGGGUCUUGGGUUUGUGUUGGUGAAGAUGGGCCGUGCUGGGCCUCCCUUCGAGCCACGCUGCAGGCCGCAGGCAAGCAAGUCUGGGGACCCCCGUUCCUAGAACGCCGACAGAAAGGACCGCUAGGAUGCGUGCUAAGAAAGAUUGCUUUGUGAAAGCGUGUUCUUCUAGUUUUCAUGGCAAUAAAGAUGAAGAUCUAAAAGUAAUUGAUGUGUCCCCUAUUAAAUCCUUAUUUUGCAAUAUGAAUCUUGAUAAUGAUGGGACUGGAUAUGAAUCAACUUUAGUUAGAAGGCGUCCCAAAAAUUCGGAGUUUAUAGAUCUUGAUGCAAAAAUUGGUAAACAUGGGAUUGAAGAGGUCAAAACUUUAGAUAGCAAUGAACCCACUAUCUUGGAUUUCAAGGAAUUUAAUUAUGAUAAUUGCUCUUUUAUAGAUUGUAUUUCCUUGUUGCAAUAUGUGCUAAAUUCUCCUCAUGCUUAUAGUCAAAAUAAAGCUUUUACUAAACAUAUCGUUGAUGUUUUGAUGCAAUCUUAUGAAGAAAAACUUGAGUUGGAAGUUUCUAUCCCUAGAAAACUUUAUGAUGAGUGGGAACCUACAAUUAAAAUUAAAAUUAAAGAUCAUGAAUGCUAUGGUUUGUGUGAUUUGGGUGCUAGUGUUUCCAUGAUUCCGAAAACUUUGUGUGAUUUGCAAGGUUUCCGUGAAUUUGAUGAUUGUUCUCUAAACUUGCACCUUGUGGAUUCCACUAUUAAGAAACCUAUGGGAAAGACUAAUGAUAUUAUUAUUGUUGCAAAUAGGAAUUAUGUGCCCGUAGAUUUCAUUGUUCUUGAUAUAGAUUGCAAUCCUUCAUGUCCUAUUAUUCUUGGUAGACCUUUCCUUACAACGAUUGGUGCAAUUAUUGAUACAAAGGAAGGGAAUAUUAAAUUCCAAUUUCCAUUAAGGAAAGGCAUGGAACACUUCCCUAGAAAGAAAGUUAAAUUACCAUAUGAAUCUAUUAUGAGAGCCACUUAUGGAUUGCCUACCAAAGAUGGCAAUACUUAGAUCUAUCCUUGCUUUUAUGCCUAACUAAGGGCGUUAAACGAUAGUGCUUGUUGGGAGGCAACCCAAUUUUAUUUUUAUUCCUUGCUUUUUGCUCCUGUUUAGUAAUAAAUAAUUUAUCUAGCCUCUCUUUUGGUUGUUUUUUGUGUUUAAUUAGUGUUUAUGCCAAGUAGAACCGUGGGGAAGACUUGGGGAAAGUCUUUUUGAUCUUGCUAUAAAAACAGAAACUUUAGCGCUCACGAGAAUUGCUGCCAUUUUUUAUUGGAGAGUGCUAUUUAGUUAAUUAAUUUUUAAGAUGAUUAAUAGAUAAAUUAAACACGUCCAACAAUUUAUUUUAUAAUUUUUGGGGUUCUAGAAGUGGUCGAAACCUACAGAUUACUACGGACGGUUCUGUUAUUGACAGAUUCUAUUUUUUGUGUGUUGUUUGCUUAUUUUGAUGAAUCUAUGGCUAGUAAAAGAGUUUAUAAACGAUAGAGAAGUUGGAAUACAUUAGGUUUAACACCAAUCUAAAUUAAUAAUGAGUUCAUUACAGUACCUUGAAGUGGUGGUUUGUUUUCUUUUACUAACGGAGCUCACGAAAAUUUUCUUUUAAGUUUUGUGUUGUGAAGUUUUCAAGUUUUGGGUAAGGAUUUGAUGGAUUAUGGAACAAGGAGUGGCAAGAUCCUAAGAUUGGGGAUACCCAAGGAACCCCAAGGUAAAAUCCAAGGACACCAAAAAUCCUAAGCUUGGGGAUUCCUCGGAAGGCAUCCCCUCUUUCGUCUUCGUCUAUCGGUAACUUUACUUGGAGCUAUAUUUUUAUUCGCCACAUGAUAUGUGUUUUGCUUGGAGCGUCUUGUAUGAUUUGAGUCUUUUGUUUUUAGUUUACCACAAUCAUCCUUGCUGUACACACCUUUUGGGAGAUACACACAUGAGUUUGAAUUUAUUAGAAUACUCUAUGUGCUUCACUUAUAUCUUUUGAGCUAUAUAGUUUUUGCUCUAGUGCUUCGCUUAUAUCUUUUAGAGCACGGCGGUGGUUUUAUUUUAUAGAAAUAAUUGAUCUCUCAUGCUUCACUUAUAUCAUUUUGACAGUCCUUUAUAACAUCAUGGUAAUUCACUUUGGCUAUAAAUUUUAAAUGCUAAGAGAAGUUGGAUGCUAUAUAGAUGGUUUUGAGAUAUAAAGGUGGUAAUAUUAGAAGUGUGCUAGUUGAGUAAAUGUGAAAUUGAUGAAUACUUGUGUUGAAGUUGGGAAGUACCAUAGCAUGCACGUAUGGUGAAUGUUAUGUGACAAAUUUGAAGCAUGGGGUGUUCUUUGAUUGCUUUCCUUAUGGGUGGCGGUCGGGGAUGAGCGAUGGUCUUUUCCAACCAAUAUAUCCCCCUAGGAGCAUGCGUGUAGUGCUUGGUUUGAUGACUUGUAGAUUUUUGCAACAAGUAUGUGAGUUCUUUAUGACUAAUGUUGAGUCCAUGGAUUAUAAGCACUCUCACCCUUCCAUCAUUGCUAGCCUCUUCGGUACCGUGCAUUGCCCUUUCUCACCUUGAGAGUUGGUGCAAACUUCGCCGGUGCAUCCAAACCCAGUGAUAUGAUACGCUCUAUCACACAUAAGCCUCCUUAUAUCUUCCUCAAAACAGCCACCAUACCUACCUAUUAUGGCAUAUCCAUAGCCAUUCCGAGAUAUAUUGCCAUGCAACUUUCCAUCGUUCCAUUUAUUAUGACACGUAUCAUCAUUGUCAUAUUGCUUUGCAUGAUCAUGUAGUUGACAUUGUAUUUGUGGCAAAGCCACCGUUCAUAAUUUUUUCAUACAUGUCAUUGUUGAUUCAUCGCAAUCCCGGUACACCGUCGGAGGCAUUCACAUAGAGUCAUAUUUUGUUCUAAGUAUCGAGUUGUAAGAAAAUAAAAGUGUGAUGAUCAUUAUUAGAGAAUUGUCCCAUGUGAGGAAAGGAUGAUGGAGACUAUGAUUCCCCCACAAGUCGGGAUGAGACUCCGGACGAAAAAAAGAUAAAUAAAAGAGGCCAAAAAAAAGAAAGAAGGCCCAAAUAAAUAAAUAAAUAAAUGAGAGAAAAAGAGAUAAGGGACAAUGUUACUAUCCUUUUUCCACACUUGUGCUUCAAAGUAGCACCAUGAUCUUCAUGAUAGAGAGUCUCUUAUUUUGUCACUUUCAUAUACUAGUGGGAAUUUUUCAUUAUAGAACUUGGAUUGUAUAUUCCAAUGACGGGCUUCCUAAAAUGCCCUAGGUCUUCGUGAGCAAGCGAGUUGGAUGCACACCCACUUAGUUUCUUUGAUGAGCUUUCAUAUAUUUAUAGCUCUAGUGCAUCCGUUGCAUGGCAAUCCCUACUCCUUGCAUUGACAUCAAUCGGUGGGCAUCUCCAUAUCCCAUUGAUUAUCCGCGUCAAUGUGAGACUUUCUCCCCUUUUGUCUUCUCACACAACCUCAAUCAUCAUAUUCUAUUCCACCCAUAGUGCUAUGUCCAUGGCUCGCGCUCAUAUAUUGCGUGAAAGUUGAAAGAGUUUGAAAAGGCUAAGUAUGAAACAAUUGCUUGGCUUGUCUUCGGAGUUGUGCAUGAUGAGAGCAUUUUGUGUGACGAAAAUGAAGCACGGCCAAACUAUAUGACUUUGUAGGGAUAAGUUUUCUCUGGCUAUGGUAUUUUGAUAAGACAUAAUUGCUUGAUUAGCAUACUUGGAGUAUUACUAUUUUUAUGUCAACAAUAAACUUUUAUAUCGAAUCUUUCGGAUCUGAACAUUCAUGCCACAAUAGAGAAAAAUACAUUGAAGAAUAUUCUAGGAAGCAUUCCACAUCAAAAAUUCUAUUUUUAUCAUUUACCUACUCGAGGACGAGCAGGAAUUAAGCUUGGGGAUGCUGAUACGUCUCGAACAUAUCUAUAAUUUUUUUAUUGUCCCAUGCUAUUAUAUUAUCUGUUUUGGAUGUUAAUGGGCUUUAUUUUACACUUUUAUAUUAUUUUUGGGACUAACCUAUUAACUGGAGGCCCAACCCAAAUUUCUGUUUUUUUGCCUAUUUCAGUGUUUCGUACAAAAGGAAUAUCAAACGGAGUCCAAAUGGAAUGAAACCUUCGGGAACGUGAUUUUUGGAACAAAUGUGAUCCAGAGGACUUGGAGUGGACAUCAAGAAAUCAACAAGGCGGCCACGAGGCAGGGGGCGCGCCUACCCCCUGGGUGGGCCCUCCCCCCUCAUGGGCCCCUCGUUGCUCCACCGACCUACUUCUUCCUACUAUAUAUGUUCACAUACCCUACAAACAUCCAGGAGCACCACAAAAACCUAAUUCCACCGCCGCAACCUUCUGUAACCAAGAGAUCCCAUCUUGGGGCCUUUUCCGGAUCUCCGCCGGAGGGGGCAUUGAUCACGGAGGGCCUCUACAUCAACUCCAUGGCCCCUCCGGUGUUGUGUGAGUAGUUUACUUCAGACCUUCGGGUCCAUAGUUAUUAGCUAGAUGGCUUCUUCUGUCUCUUUGGAUCUCACUACAAAGUUCUCCUCGAUCUUCUUGGAGAUCUAUUCGAUGUAACUCUUUUUGUGGUGUGUUUGUCGAGAUCCGAUGAAUUGUGGGUUUAUGAUCAAGUCUAUCUAUGAACAAUAUUUGAAUCUUCUCUGAAUUCUUUUAUGUAUGAUUGGUUUAUCUUUGCAAGUCUCUUUGAAUUAUCAGUUUGGUUUGGCCUACUAGAUUGAUCUUUCUUGCAAUGGGAGAAGUGCUUAGCUUUUGAUUCACUAUUGCGAUGCUCGAUCCCAGUGAUAGAAAGGGAAACGACACGUAUUGUAUUGUUGCGAUCGAGGAUAAAAAGAUGUGGUUUACGUCAUAUUGCAUGAGUUUAUCCCUCUACAUCAUGUCAUCUUGCUUAAGGCGUUACUCUGUUCUUAUGAACUUAAUACUCUAGAUGCAUGCUGGAUAGCGGUUGAUGUGUGGAGUAAUAGUAGUAGAUGCAGAAUCGUUUCGGUCUACUUGUCUCGGACGUGAUGCCUAUAUACAUGAUCAUGCCUAGAUAUUCUCAUAAUUAUUCGCUUUUCUAUCAAUUGUCCGACAGUAAUUUUUUCACCCACCGUAAUACUUAUGCUAUCUUGAGAGAAGCCACUAGUGAAACCUAUGGCCCCCGGGUCUAUUUUCCAUCAUACAAGUUUCCAAUCUAUUUUAUUUUGCAAUCUUUUACUUCCAAUCUAUAUCAUAAAAAUACCAAUAAUACUUAUCGUAUUAUUACCAUCUCUAUCAGAUAUCACUCUUGCAAGUGGCCGUGAAGGGGUUGACAACCCCUUUAUCACGUUGGUUGCGAGGUUCUUAUUUGUUUGUGUAGGUACGAGGUGACUCACGUGUGGUCUCCUACUGGAUUGAUAGCUUGGUUCUCAAAAACUGAGGGAAAUACCUACGUUGCUUUACUGCACCACCCUGUCCUCUUCAAGGGAAAACCAACGCAGUGCUCAAGAGGUAGCAACUUGCGCAAUUCAUCUACUAUGCCAUGCCAUGAUCACAUUGUUGUGCAUAUGCUUUGUUUUGGAUGUUGUCAAUAUUCUCCAUGUGAUGUUUCCACUAAUUCUCAUGAGGAGACCUCCAUAGUUUCCUCAUACAUAUUAGGAGAUUUUGAUGCAUUCCAUUCUUUGCAUGAUUCCUAUAAUCGCGUGCACCAUAUGCAUUCCAUGAAUAACAAUGCUAUACAUAUUUCUCAUGAUGCAUGACACAAUUUGAGUCUCCAUUAUGCUAUACAUAACAAAAAAACCUCAUGAUGGAUGACAUGUUUCUAUCUCACGCAUCUCAUUUAUUUGAGCAUUGGAUAUUUUGUGCUAACCAACACAUGCAUGUACGCAUCAUAAUGGAUGAUGUAUACAUAUACCAUGAACACACUAUUUCUCCUUUGCCUUUUUUGUGUAGGUACUCACAUAUACUCGUCAACCUCUCAAUCCCAAGAGUUGACGAAACCGGCUCUUGAGAGCAACGACGACUUGGGAUCACAUGGAUUAUCCUUACCACUUGUAACACCCACGAUGCGGCUAUAUCUCCCACGUGUCGGAGCACGACUUAGAGGCAUAAUCGCUUGGUAGGCAUGUCGCAAGAGGGGUAAUCUUUACACAUCCCAUGUAUUGAAUAAGAAAGGGAUAAAGAGUUGGCUUACAAUCGCCACUUCACACAAUACAUAAAUAUAGCAUUACAUCAUCCAGAAUACAAUCAAGGUCCGACUACAGAACCAACAUAAAAGAAGACCACCCCUAAUGCUAGAUCCCCGAUCGCCCCGACUGGGCUCCACUACUGAUCAACUGGAAAUGAAACAAGACUACGAUCAAGAUCCUCAUCGGGCUCCCACUUGAGCUCAGUUGCGUCACCUGCACUGGUAUCAUCGGCACCUGAAACUGUUUGGAAGUAUCUGUGAGCCACGAGGACUCAGCAAUCUCACACCCUCGCGAUCAAGACUAUUUAAGCUUAUGGGUAGGAAAAUGUAGUAAGGUGGAUCUGCAGCAAGCACUAGCAUAUAUGGUGGCUAACUUACGCAAAAGAGCGAGAAGAGAAGCAAAGCACGGUCGAGAAGCUAUAAAGAUCAAGAAGUGAUCCUGAAACUACUUACGUUCAAACAUAACACCAAAACCGUGUUCACUUCCCGGACUCCACCGGAAAGAGACCAUCAUGGCUACACACGCGGUUGAUUCAUUUUAAAUUAAGUUAAGUGUCAAAUUUUCUACAACCGGAUAUUAACAAAUUCUCAUCUACCCAUAAUCGCGGGCACGGCUUUCGAAAGUUCAAAACCCGGCAGGGGUGUCCCAACUUAGCCCAUCACAAGCUCUCACGGUCAACGAAGGAUAUUCCUUCUCACAGGAAGACCCGAUCAGUCUCGAAAUCCCGGUUACAAGACAUUUCGACAAUGGUAGAACAAGACCAGCAAAGCCACCUGAUGUGCCAACAAAUCCCGAUAGGAGUCGCACGUAUCUCGUUCUCAGGGAACACCGGAUGGGCAAGACGUCGGGUUGGCAUAGACCCUGGUUGCCCAGGGGGCGCCGGACAUCGCCCAGUUUGGACCAACACUCGGAGGAGCACUGGCCCGGGGGUUUAAAAUAAAGAUGACCCUUGAGUCUGCAGAACCCAAGGGAAAAAGGCUUAGGUGGCAAAUGUUAAAACCAAGGUUGGGCCUUGCUGGAGGAGUUUUAUUCAAAGCAAACUGUCAAGGGGUUCCCGUAACACCCAACCGCGUAAGGAAUGCAAAAUCAAGGAACAUAACACCGGUAUGACGGAAACUAGGGCGACAAGAGUGGAACAAAACACCAGGUAUAAGGUCUAGCCUUUAACCCUUUACCAAGUAUAUAGAUGCAUUAAUUAAAUAAGUGAUAUUGUGAUAUCCCAACAUAUCCUUGUUCCAAACAUGGAACAAACUCCAUCUUCACCUGCAACUAGCAACGCUAUAAGAGGGGCUGAGCAAAGCGGUAACAUAGCCAAACAACGGUUUGCUAGGAAAGGUGGGUUAGAGGCUUGACAUGGAAAUAUGGGAGGCAUGAUAUAGCAAGUGGUAGGUAUCGCAGCAUAGCAAAAGAGAGAACAAGUAUCAAGCAAAGAUAGAAUUGAUUUCGAGGGUAUGGUCAUCUUGCCUGCAAAGUUCUCCGAGUUGACGAAAGCUUGAUCUUCCUUAGCGUACUCAACAGGUUCCUCGAUCACGCACUUGUCUCCCGUCUCUACCCAAGGCAAGAACACAAGCAAAGGAAACUACAAUCAACCACGGUGCAAUGCACAAGCAACAUGAUGCAAAACAUGGGAUGAUAUGCGGGAUGUGAUAUGCAAUGCAUAUGCGUGCUUCGGAAGGGAAAGAAUGAACCAGGAAUCAACUUGGCAAACCAAGUGUGCCGCUGGAAAGAUGAGUUGAUUUCGGUCAAAAUCGAUAUAAAGAUCACCGGAAUCGGAUGCACGGUUUGCAAAUGGCAAGCUAAACAAGAAUGGCACAAUUCUGCGAUUAACAGCAUGAUGCCAUCUAGAAUGCACCAAGAAACUAAGCUACUGCACUCCAACAUAGCAACAAAGCACAUGGCAGUGAUCCACUCAAGAUGCUUGACAAAAGAUGAACACUGAGCUACAGCUAAAUCACACAAGAGUAGGUUCAAACAAGCAUGGCAAAAGUGCAAAAGAUAUCAACAUCACAGACUUUGUGAAAAUACUAACAUGUCAGGAAUUAACAUCAGGAAGCAAUGUUUAGAGCAAGAUAACAACAUGCUACAGGAACAUAUCAUAGCAAUACAAGGCAUGGCAUGAAUCUACUCAAAGCAUAGAACAAAAGUCCCUUACUGACCAUGAGCCAAAAAGGAUCAGAAGAUAAGAUGGCACCCAUGUAAACAUAACAAGUUUCAUUAACAGAUUCAGACUUAGCAGAAAACUGAGCAUGGCAUAAACAGAAUUAUGAAGGCAUCUUUGCGAGCUCGAUUCACUCAACACAAGGCAUUGCAUGACAAGGUAAGCAUAGCAUAAGUAAGAAGACAUGUUCAAGAAGUUAACCCAGGCAAGAGCAAGUUUAUAGCAUGCUUGGAUCAACUAUGACAACCGUGGCAAAAUUGAUUAACAUGUAAACAAUCUGCCAGGAACAUUUUAUAGCAAGAGUAGAGCAAGAUUAAGUCAUGCUAGGUAACUCCAUAAUUGCAAAUAGGGGCAUUGAUUGAUAGAGAACAAAAAUAUGUCCAAAUCAUCCUUACUAAAGCAACUCAAAUAAAGCAUGGAUCUCACUGUAGCAACGUGAAUACAUGGCAUAAAAAUAACAGCAGAGCAAUGACUUAGUGAAAUUCUAAGUCCCUGAAAACAGUAAUAUCAUGAGAGCUACUUUGCAUGCUUGUGCUAGUCACCACAUCGAUCACAAAAAUACAUGGCAUACACCCCUGUAAAGAUGGCAUGGCAUAGAUCAAAACACAUGUAGAGGACAUGACCAUAUGCAGCACACAACAAAUGUAAAAAAUGACAAAUGCUCAUACUCUGCUAAGAAUCAGCACCUAACAUUUUAUAGCACUCUUGCAACAACGAUUUGGCAUCAAUAUUGACUCAAACAAGCAUGUCACAAUGUAACAAAAUGAAGAGCACAUCCUGAUGAACAUUUUGAUAUAUAGCACGCAAAAAAUGGAGCAGUAUGCAACAAGUUAUGGCAUGAUGAACAGGGCUUCAGAAUGCAAACAUAAAAUGACUUAGUGAUGAAACGAGGUCAACUGUGGAUCUAGGGUUUGACACAGGGGGGCAAGCGUAUUGAGGUGGCACCAGAGUGUUCACCGGAGAAGCCACGGUGGCUAGAGAAGGCGGCGUCCGGGCCGGAUCUCGCCGGAUCCUGCCGGAUCUGCCGUGGGGCGAAGAUUGCCGGAGAGGGGGGUGGCUCCCGCGGCGGCGGUGGUGGACGAAGGCGGCGGCACGGGGCUCGGCGUGGUGCGGCUGCGAUCGGCGAGGCGGCGGCCGGCGAGACGNNNNNNNNNNNNNNNNNNNNNNNNNNNNNNNNNNNNNNNNNNNNNNNNNNNNNNNNNNNNNNNNNNNNNNNNNNNNNNNNNNNNNNNNNNNNNNNNNNNNNNNNNNNNNNNNNNNNNNNNNNNNNNNNNNNNNNNNNNNNNNNNNNNNNNNNNNNNNNNNNNNNNNNNNNNNNNNNNNNNNNNNNNNNNNNNNNNNNNNNNNNNNNNNNNNNNNNNNNNNNNNNNNNNNNNNNNNNNNNNNNNNNNNNNNNNNGCGGGCUCGCGGGCCGGGAGGGCCCCACGCAGGCCUGGCGGGCCGGCGGCGGCGGGCAGCAGUGUUGCCACGUGGCCGCACGCCAUUGGUGCGGGCGCGGCGGCGAUUCGUCCUGUGGCGGCGGACGUGUCCGGUGGGCGAGAGGAAGGGGGAGCUAGGGUUUGACUGCGCGAAUUUUGAGAGGGGAUCACAUAUUUAUAGCUAGGAGGAGGUAGGAGUGUCCAAAUGAGGUGUAGUAUUCGGCCACGCGAUCGUGAUCGAAUGGCCGAGAGGAUGGAGGGGGUUUGGAUGGGUUAUUGGUCCACUUUAGAGGGGUAUUGGGCUGCAACACACGCGAGGCCUUUACGGUUCCCCGGUUAACCGUUGGAGUAUCAAAUGACUCCAAAUGGCACGAAACAUGACAGGCGGUCUACCGGUGGUGUACCAAGGCCGCUUGACUAAUCUCGGUCCAUUCCGAGAAAGUUUAACACCCGCUCACGAAAAGAGACAAAAGAGGGCACCGGAGGACGUAGGAGUGCCGGAUUGCAAAACGGACAACGGGGAAAAUGCUCGGAUGCAUGAGACGAACAUGUAUGCAAAUGAGAUGCACAUGAUGACAUGAUAUGAAAUGCAUGACAUGAACAAAAUGCAAAAUGAAGACAAAACCCAGCCAUGAAGGAAUCUCAUAACUUAGACCGAAAAUGGCAAGAGUCGGAGUACAAAUAUGGAAAGUUGUAUCCGGGGCGUUACACCACCGUUCCCUUUUCGCAAGGAUUAUGCGCACCUCUUCUACUUGGCUCCCAGACAUCUUUGGGAUAUUUACCACUUGUCACCUUAUGCCCAUUUUACCAUGUUCACUUUGCAUGUUAUGCUUGCUUCUAUGUGUUUGCCAUGCAAUUGUGACCCUUUCUUGCAUUUACCCAUGUAUUGGGUUGAUAGCAUAUAUGUUCAUGCCUCUCACUUGAUUUGUCUUAAUCAUUGUCUCUUGUAUCCAUUAGUUGCAUCUCGAAUAUCCCCUUGUAUUGAGUGCCAACUUGCUAUGCAUAUUCAUCAUGGAGACUUGGACAUCUUACUUGUGAUGCAUGCUUGCUUAUUUGAGCUUAAUAUCUAUGGUUGUGCUAGCAUCUUAUGCCUACAUACCAUGCCCUAUACCCUUGUCCUUUCUUAUGAUAUGAAUGAUGAUGACACUUGUUGGGUAUUUCACCACACGAAUUAUAGGUUCUGCAUUUCCGCUAACCUCAUUUGUUUUUCCGAGUGUUUGUCAUUCUCUUUCACUUUGGAGGAUUCACAAGGUGGUACCAUCAUGAGUCAACUUGGUCAUAUGUGAAGGCGUACACGAUGUGCGACCCCAUCAUUUUCAUGACACUACUUAAGGUGAACUCCUUCCCUUUGAGCCAUCCUCACAUAUGCAUAUUGGAUGGGUCAUUCUUUCAUUGUUGCCUCCUUCUUCUUGUCUACAUGCUACAUAUAUUGGAUGGAGGACUGACAUUGGAGAUGGACCCUAUGGGCCUUCACGUUGAGAAGUGCUCGCACUUAGAGGAUGCACCUACUUUGGAAGCACCACUGGACCACCACUUAUGCCACGACAUCGAGACAUGGUACAACAAUCCCCAUAACAAAUUUGCAUCUUAUGCAUGGAUUGACUCACAUUAUGACUGCCUUGUUGCAUCUUGUAUGACCAUGUCAUCCAUGAUAUAUGAACUUUUGCACUUUCUUAGCAAAUUUGUUGUGAUCUUCCUUGAUGGCAUACUCAUACAUCAUGAUCAUAUUGCCCACCAUCAAUUGCAUGAUAACAUAAUAAUAUUGAGCAUCCAUUGCCACGUUCAUGAUCUUGAUAAACCAUCAUACUAUGAAAUCAUUUUGCACAAUGGUAGAAUUCACAUUGUGCAUCGUGACAAUUACCACACCUUUGUGCACGCAUCAAAUGAAUUUACUCCCAUGAAUGCUUUGCAUAUCAUUCUAUAUCUUUUAGCUAAGCAUCAUAUGCCUUGUCACGAACAAUCUUAUUGGACGAACUCAUGCUUAUUUGAUGGACACCUUGUGCACGCUAACCAUUGUAUUUUCGAGUGUCGUUUUUGUUUGCUCUUUUUGCAUGUAUACCACUCCGGCGACACCUUGGAGUACUUGGAUUGUGCCAUGUCUUCAACUCUGUCCAACUACAAGUUCAUCCAUGACAACCGUUUCCAUGGUGAUGAGGUUUACGAUCCAAGGUCAGAUUUUUCCCAAGGGGGGGAGAUGAUGCGGAGCAUCCUACGACCAUCCCCAUGUACACUACGACCACUCCCUAAGCCCCAAUUGGACAUACGAUGAGACCUCAAGCAUAUGCCAUUGGACACAUGGUGAAGCUGCUCCUAAGUGCCUCCCGUUUCCAUUCGUGCGAGACAAGGUUGCUACCUCAUGCAAAGACACUACAUGUGUUCAAGAACCCAGGAGACGACCAUGGAGAUGCUCGAAGCAUAGGACAAGUCCCCAAGUACAGGGGUGAAGAGGAUCGGCGAAAGAAGCCAGAGACAACUUCCAGGACCCAGACAUCUGGCCACAACCUCGGACAUCCGGCCCCUGAAUGUGACGAUAGUAAUAGCCCUGCAGCCGACAUACUACAGUGCUCGGACAUCCGGCCAGGCCCCGUACAUCCGGCCCGACAACCCGGACAUCCAGCGCUUGCCCAGAAAUCCAGCCCUCCAUCACAGAACGCCACCGAAACAGACAAGUCCAGCCUAGACAUCCAGCCAGAGGCCCGGACAUCGGGCUCCUCGUGAGCCGCCGGACAUCCGGCCCCCAGCCUGGACAUUCGGCGCCUGUCUGCGCACAGUGAACGGGCCAAAGGCCCAUGUAUCCUCUCCCACUUACCCCUUUGUGGCUAAGGACUAUAUAUACUCCUUCCCCUUCCUCUAGUUAGUGUUAGCAAAGGAUUAGCUCAUUUGAGAGAUAGAGCUUUGCUCAUCCACUUGAUACCUUCUCCAUUGGAGACCAUGACCUCUAGGGAGAAGAUCCCCAAAGUGGAUACAAGACCCCUCGCGGGAAGACCCUCAAGACCUCCUCACGGAGAAGAACUACCGCCUCUUGUAUCGUCCUUUGUUGCAUUUGGAUCUUGUAUCACUCUUUAUGUUCAUGGAUCUAGCACAUGUGUGAUUGUUCUCAUUGAUUUGAGUGUCUUUUUCUCGUGUUCUCCCCUAGUGUUCUUCAUAGGAUCCUCUCCAUUUCAUGAAAGAUCGGCCCUAGGGUUUCCACCCUACAUCACUUAUCCAAGCCAAAUCAUGGUGAAGUGUCAUGUAGUCGACGCUCACAUAACACCACUAUAGGAAAGACAACAUACAUCUCAUCAAAAUAUCAAACAAAUACCAAAUUGACAUGAUUACUUAUAACAAGACUUCUUGCAUGUCCCUAGGAACAAACAUAACUACUCUCAAAGCAUGUUCAUGUUCAAGAUCAGAGGGGUAAUGAAUAUCAUUAAGAAUUUGAACAUAUGAUCUUCCACCAAAUAAACCAACUAGCAUCAACUACAAAGACUAAUCAACACUACUAGCAACCCACAAGUACCAAUCUGAGGUUUUGAGACCAAGAUUGAAUACAAGAGAUGAACUAGUGAUGUAGGGUGGAACCCUAGUGGCCCAUCUUUCACGAUUUGGAGAGGAUCCCACGAAGAACACAAAGAACACGAGGGGAAACGCGAGUAAAUCAUGAGGGGGAAUGAGAGGAAACACUCAAAUCAACAAGCAACGAUCACACAUGUUCUAGAUUCUCGAAACACAAAGAGAUACAUGAUCCAAGGUCAACAAAGGAUGAUACCAACGGUAACUAGUUCAUCUCCGUGAGGAGGUCUUAAGGGGUCAUCACAUGAAGGGGUCUAGAAUCCCAGGUGGAUCUUCUCCAUAGAGGCGCAGUCUCUCUCGAUGGAGUAGAUCUGUAUGGAUGAGCAAAGCUCUAUCUCAAAUGAGCUAAACUUAUGCUAACUCUAACUAGGAGGAGGGGGUGUCCUAUUUAUAGUCAUAGUGCAAACGGGGGCGAAGUGAAGGGGUACAUGGGCCUCAGGCCCAAAACUAUGCGCAGACAGGUACCAGACGUCCAGUGGGUUCCGGUCGUCCGGUGGCUCGUGGGCGUCCGGACAUCCAGAAGUCAUCGGACUUCCGUCAUUUCAGCUUGGUUAAGGUGGCACCGGAUUUCCAGAGAAGCUCGGUCGCCCGGUACUUGUCAGAUGUUUGGUGGCUGUAGCGUUUGCUGGCCUGGCUUCUUCUAGCUGGCGUGGCCUUCAGGGACCGGACGUCCUGUCUAGAGCGGUCAUCCGAUGGCUGUAGCUCGUCUUGCAGCUCUUCCUCUUGUUCCUCGCGCUUGGUGUCCUGACUGUCUUUUCCAAUGCUCCUAGAUGUUCCAUGGCAUUCCUAUUGGUUCCUGGUCAUGCAUAGCACAUAUGUUUGAGGUAGUAGCCAUGUCUCACUUGUGGAAAGUGAAGGUUUGGAGAGGAGCGAGUUCACCUUGUGUCCAAUGGCAUAUAGUAGGGGUCUCAUCUUAUGUAUCCUUGGGUCCUGGGGAGUGGUCGAAGUGAACAUGGGGAUGAUCGUAUGAAGCUCCGUAUCAUCUCCCCCCUUGGUAAAGAUCCAACCUCGGAUCGUGAUCCUCAUCACCAUGGAUACGGUUGUUGUGGAUGAACUUGUAGUUGGACGUAGAUGAAGGUGUUGUGCAAUCCAAGUACUCCAAGGUGUCUCUGGAGGGAUAGACAUGCAAAAAGAACAAACGCAAACGACACUCAGAAAUACAAUGGUUAGCGCACAAAAAGUGUCCAUCAAGUAAGUAUGAGUCUGUUCGGCAAGAUUGUUCCUGACAAAGCGCAUGAAGCUUAUCAAGAUGAUAUAGAAUGAUAUGCAAAGCAUUCAUGAGAUGAAAUUCAUUUGUAGUAUGCACAAAGGUGUUGGGAAUGUGAUUAAUGCGACCAUUGUGCAAAAUGAUGUCAUAAUGUGACGGUGUAUCAAAACCAUGAACAUGGUAAUUGGUGCUCAAUGUGAUUAUGUUGUCUUGCAAUUGAUGGUGGGCAAGAUGAUCAUGAUGUAUGAAUAUAACAUCAAGGAAGAUCACAUCAAAUUUUCUAAGGAAGUGCACAAGCUCAUAUAUCAUGGAUGACAUGGGAAUACAAGAUGCAACAAGGCAAUCAUAAUGUGAGUCAAUCCAUGCAUAGGGUGCAAACUUGUGGUGAGUGUAAUAUGUACAUCGAGCAUGACAUGUGUGAGCACAAUCAACAAAUAUGGAAGUGUUGGUGCAAUGUGUCAAAGGAGUGUUGAUGUACCAAUGCUCGAUGUCGUGGAAUGAGUGGAGGUUCAAAGGUGCAUCCAAUAAGUCCGAGUGCUCCUCAAUUUGAAGUUCCAUAGAGCGAAUCUCCAAUAUCGCUCCUCCGUUCAUGAGAUGUAUCAUGUAGACAACAAGAAGGAGACAACAAUGAAAGAGUGACUCAUCCAAUAUGCGUAUUUCAAGAUGGCUCAAAGGGAAGGAGUUCACCUUUAUGAGAAUGUCAAAAAUGUGGUGUCGUGCAUCGUGUACGCCUUCACAUGACGAAGUUGUCUCGUGAUGGUACCACCUUGUGAAUCCUUCAAAAUGAAAGAACAUGGAAAACACUCGGAAAAACAAAUGAGGUUAGCGGAAGUGCAAAACCUAUUAUUCGUGUGGUAAGAUACCCAACAAGUGUAUGCAUCAUGCUCAUCAUAAGAAAGGACAAGGGAGCAUUUCAUAGUAGGGAGGCAUAUGAUGCAAGAACAACCAAAUACAAUAGGCUCAAUCAAACAAGCAUGCAUCACAAGUAAUAUGUCCAAGUCUCCACGAUCAAUAAGCAUAGCAAGUUGGCACUCAAUACAAGGGGAUAUGAGAGAUGCCACUAAUGGAGACAAGAGACAAUGAUCAAGACAAAUAAAGUGAGAGGCAAGAGCAUAUAUGUCAUCAACCCAAGAAAGCGAGUAAGAAUGGAACAUGGGUGAUGCGACAAAGCAAACAAUCAUAGUGAUCAAGUCAAGCAAGCUAGUAGUGUGAAGGUGCAACGUACUAGAAGGAAUCAUUGCAAGCAUGUCAUGUGUGCAAAUGGUGGUCAUGAAUGAUGCACAAGACAUAUCACAAGCAUGAAGGCAAGAUAUGAGCAAAAUAUCAUCAAUGUAUUGGCGAGAGGCCAUAUGUAAAUAGCAAUGGGACAUCAUGACUCUCCCAACAUAACAAGCAUCAAUAGCAUGGGACACAAAGAAAUCAUGGCAAUAGCUACAAGGAUCUCCACCAAGCAUGCAAAUACACAUAGGAGUAUCAUAAUUGUGAAUCAUGGGUAGAUGCAAGCAAGGGUCACAAUUGCAUGGGAAAAUCAUGUAAGGAGGCAUAACAUGCAAAGUGAACAGGAUACACUAGGCAUAAAGUAACAAGUGAUAUAUAGCCCAUAGCCAUGUGAGAGUCAAGUAAAAGAGAUGCGCGUAGUCGUUACACAAAGAGAACGGUGGGAAGGACAAUCCAUGAGAUCCCAAAUCGCCGUUGCUCUUAAGAGCUCGUUUCGUUAACUCCUGGGAUUGAGAGGUUGACGAGUAUAUGUGAGUACCUACAAAAACAAAGACAAAGGGAAAAUUGUGUGUGCGUGGUAUAUGUACACAUCAUCCAUUAUGAUGCGCACGUGCUUGUGUGGGUUAGCACAAAAUAUCCAAUGCUCAAAUAAAUGAGAUGCAUGAUAUAGAAACAUAUCAUCCAUCAUGAUAGGUUUGUUAUUAUGUAGAGCAUAAUGGAGACUCAAAUUCUGUAAUGCAUCAUGAGAAAUAUGUAGAGCAUUGUUAUUCAUGGAAUGCAUAUGGUGCAAGCAAUUGUGGAAAUCAUGCAAAGUAUGGAAUGUAUCAAAAUCUCCUAAUAUGUAUGAGGAAACUAUGGGGGUCUGCUCAUGAGCUUUAAUGGAAACAUCACAUGGAGAAUAUUGACAACAUCCAAAACAAAGCAUAUUUGGAACAAUGUGAUCAUGGCAUGUCAUAGUAGAUGAAUUGCGGAAAUCAUGUAAAGGAAUCUUAGCAAUAUCAUCACAAGGAAAACAAAAGCCAAUGACCAUCAUCUCGUCAUCUAUGCGAUAAGUGCAAAUGGGAUUUAUUUUAAUGGGGCAUGCAUAGUUACUAUGUCGAGAUUGAAAUGAUGGAAUCUGGGAGAUCUCACUCAUAGCAUAUGACAAGUUUAAAGGAUUAUCAAACAUGAUGUGACCAUUAGAAUUUUCACAUGAUAUCCUAUGGAGCAUAGCAUCACAACUAGGAAAAUCAACAUGCUCAUCAUCUUAUACAUCAUUAAUGGGUGUCAUAUCGAAACAUGACAUAGUAUGCGAUGAAUCCAUAAGGUGAUCAUCAUCAUGCAAGCAAUCAUUGGUAAGAUAGUCCACUAGUGGGACAAGAGAAGCACCAUCACCUAUGUUACCUUUAGAGCAUAGCUCAUGUGUUGUAGGUGAGGUUGCAACUUGAUGGUACCAUGUGGGGGUGUAUCUUCUUCCACCAUGGCCAUCGUUGUCUCCAUUGGUGAUAGAGGGGAAGGUGUCCCGAUGUUUCGAUGAGAUAGCUAUAAUUUUCCAUGGGAGUCGACGUAGAUGAUCCAACUACGAACGUGUGAAGACGUCGCGCCUUAGCAAUCUCUAAACCAACUCCGAGAGGUCAUUGACCACACUGGAGCACGAUCAACCUGACCACGAGGGUCUAUUUCCUGCGAGCAAAACAAAGAACAAGCAAGAAACUGAGAUUGCAAUCUGGAUAUUGCGAAUAUAAUAUGAAAGCUUUAUUGAUCAAGGUGGGGUUAUGUGACGUCUUAGUCUCGUCAUUGAACACAAACGAAGUAGGCGAAGUUGCAGCUAUGGCGAACUUUUAAUCUAAACAAAACCCAAAGUCUAAACGAUGCCCUAAGGGCUGUAUAUAUGGAGGAAGAGGGGGAAUUUCGUGGCCCCUGGAGGAGGGGUCCUAAACCAACCCUAACUCUUGUUUCCCCACACAUACAAACUCUAAAAAUAGCCUAUACUUAAGUAUUUCAAAAUUACAUGGGCCUGGCACAAUAAUAAGGUGAUGCAACACGUAGAAUAGCAUCUGGACGAAAUUUAUGAAGUGGCAUCUGAUGAAGCUAUGUACCUAGGAUAGGGGCAUGGACCUGUCCUAAGUACCCUACCCAAGGACAUCCCUAGAAGAAGUCACCUUUCAAUCGACUUGGAGGUAUCCCACUCGACGGAUUCAAGACACUCGACCACGAAGCAAUCACUCGACCAAGAUCCAACCACUCGACUGCUAGGAGAUCUAAAGUCACCUUGCAUGCAAACGGUCGGUCAUUAAGUAGCUUUUAUGGUCAUCAUAGCACUUUAUUACUAGCGUUAUCAGUAACGCCCUACCUUAAUGUACAUUGAACCCUUCGUAACGUGGGCUGGCCGGGGUCCUGGCGCACUCUAUAUAAGCCACCUCCCUCCUCCGAGACAAGGGUUCGCACCUCUGUAACUCAUACACACAUAAUCCAGUCGACCGCCUCCGGGCUCCGAGACGUAGGGCUUUUACUUCUUCCGAGAAGGGCCUGAACUCGUAAACCUUGCGUCCUUACAACCUCUCCAUAGCUAAGACCUCGCCUCUCCAUACUUACACCCCUACAUCACUGUCAGAGUUAGAACCACGACAGUUGGCGCCCACCAUGGGGCUAGGAGUCUUAGCGCCUAGUUUGAGAGGUUGCGAUUUUUUCCGAUCUCCUUGAUCAUGGUUUCGAGCGAAGCUUUGGUGGAGGGCCGCGAGAUCCGUCUCGGCGCGCUCACGUUCAUCACCGACGACUCCGCUUGGCUUCAGGAGGCUCCACUCGACGUCGACGCGCUCCCCGUCCGCGGGGCGACGCACUUUCGCGCAUGCGUCCGCGGUGUCCUCCUGCGGCAGCCGUCGACCCAGUAUCAGUCGGCUCCCGUGGCAUCUCCCCACCCUAUUUCUUGCCGGCGCAAGCGCUCCGGCCGGUCGAGGCUUCAGAGGUGGGUGAGGCAUGCGGUGGCCCGCCAGUCGGCCACCCCACAAGUCGCGGCAAUCGAGCCCGACGAAUCCCUCUACGGCCUGUUCGACCGGUCGACUGGCUCCGCAGAGACCGCAUCCGAAUGCGACAGCAGUGACCCAGCUGCAGAGGUUCUGGUGAUCGAUGGGCCACACAGUCCUCCCGGUUUCCCCUGCGCUGACGGAGGCGCGGAUGGGGGCGACCCGUCGUGUCCUCACGAGGAGUAUCUCCCCGAGCCUCUCACAUCGUUGCAGCGGGAGGAACUUCGCCACCGGAACAUGGAUGCACUCCACACUACUAUCGUCGGAGAAACCCCCGAGGCCCAAGCCUUGGAGGACGCGUGGUUGGCUAACUUGGCCGAGCGCACUCGACUGGAGAAUCUCCAGCGAAUACUCGACGGGCGAGCAUGUCAACGGGCUCCAGAAUCCAGUCGACGUCAACCCUUUCCACCCCCUCAGGUAUAUCGUACUCCGAUUCAGAAUUUGGCGGCUGCGGCCCGUAUAGCAGAGUCGAUUCAGCCCUCCCAGUGAGAGGCUGGCAGAGGCUUGUUGCAAAUCAGAGCGUUGCUCCGGGCAGCGGGAGACCAGAAUUCCGCUGUUUCUCAGUCGCGGAACAGGAUCCACAGUCGAUCUGUUGCAGCGGAUACAGUCCAGUCGGCUCACAGCCUAAGAUCGCCUCCGAGGCGUGAGGGACUUGGAGACCGGCGUGAUCAGUACAGAAGGAAUGAGCAGUAUGAUCACCGAUUCGAUCGUGAUGAUCGACGUCGAGUGCCAACCCCUCCCCCGAGGAGUGGAUCAUAUGUGCCUCGACAACAGGCGGACAGACGCCCUCAUAGUGUUGGGCAGAGAAUUCCAGUCGACCCCAGGGAACCAGGCUUUGAUGCGAGAUCCAUUCUCGUUCAAGGUUUGGUCGACAGGAAUAGAGCUCACCGAGAAGGCCACGACAGAGAUGCGCCUACCAGUAGCAGAGUACAUGUUUCAGGGCCGGAGUGUUUCAGUCGAGCCAUCAGAGCUGCUGUAAUUCCUCCCAACUUCAGGUUGGCGACUGGAGUUAGUAAGUUCACCGGUGAGUCCAAGCCCGAUGCUUGGCUCGAGGAUUACCGAGUGGCUGUCCAGAUUGGCGGUGGGAAUGAUGAGGUAGCCAUGAAGCACCUGCCUCUCAUGUUAGAAGGCUCGGCCAGAGCGUGGCUGAAUCAGUUAGCACCCAGCAGCAUUUACACUUGGGAGGAUCUCUCCCGAGUGUUUGUCACCACAUUUGAAGGAACAUGCAAGCGACCUGCAGGCCUUACGGAAUUGCAGUCUUGCAUGCAGAAACCAAAUGAAACUCUGAGGGAUUACAUCCAGAGGUGGAUGACAUUGCAUCACACAGUUGAAAAUGUACCAGAUCAUCAAGCAGUUUGUGCCUUUAAAGAAGGCGUUAAGUACAGAGAAUUGAAUCUGAAGUUCGGUUGAACCGGAGAGAUGUCUCUGAAUCGGAUGAUGGAGAUUGCCACCAAAUACGCUAAUGGUGAAGAUGAGGAUCGACUCCGGAGUGGCAAGCAUAAAGCAGUCGCCUAGGAAACCGGAGGAAAUUCCAGUCGAAAACAGAAGCGGAAAGCCGAGCCAGCCGCUCCUGGGGAGGCCCUGGCCGUAACCCAGGGAAAAUUUAAGGGAAAACCCAAAGGACCUUGGAACCCCAAGAAAGUUAAAGACCAAGAUGGAAAUGAUGUUUUGGAUCUAUCGUGUCACAUCCACAACAAGAAAGAUGAAGAGGGUAAACUCAUUUACCCAAAGCAUACCACUCGACAGUGUCGGCUUCUGAUCCAGCAGUUUCAGGGCAAGCAGUCCAAAGAUAAGGAAAAGGAGUCGGACAAAGUUGAGGACAAGGAAGAUAGUGACGAUGGGUACCCCCAGGUCAAUUCCACCCUGAUGAUUUUUGCUGAUGUUGAGAGCAAAAGUCGACUGAAGGUUAUUAACCGUGAGGUAAUUAUGGUUGCUCCGGCAACACCCAAUUAUCUGAAGUGGUCCCAGACUGCCAUCACAUUCGACUAGUCUGAUCACCCUACACACAUUGCCACCCCUAGGAGGCAAGCUCUGGUGGUCGACCCAGUUGUCGAAGGCACUCGACUGACCAAAGUCCUGAUGGAUGGAGGUAGCGGUUUGAACAUACUGUAUGCAGAAACAUUGAAAGGGAUGGGCAUUCCGAUGUCCAGGCUCAGCACCAGUAACAUGAGUUUCCAUGGAGUCAUUCCUGGGAAGAAAGCCGGGUCACUCGGCCAAAUUGCUCUUGAUGUGGUUUUCGGUGAUUCCAAGAAUUACCGCAAGGAAAAGUUGACGUUCGAAGUUGUGGAUUUCCAAAGUGCUUAUCACGCUAUUUUGGGCAGGCCAGCUUAUGCACGCUUCAUGGCUCGACCAUGUUAUGUGUAUCUCAAAUUGAAGAUGCCUGGUCCCAAAGGUGUGAUCACUGUUACAGGCAAUCGGAAGAAAGCAGAAGAGUGUUUUCAGAAAGGCUCAAAGAUUGCUGACGCUCAGAUGGCGGUGGUCGAGCUGCAAGAGUAUCAGAAGACUGCAGAUCCGAGUGAGUUGCUACGAGCUAAGAAGCCUGCUUUAGAAUCAGCUUUUCAGUCGUCCGGUGAAACGAAGGCAGUUCACAUUCACCCGACCGAUCCAAACGCUGCUCCGACUCACAUCUCAACGACGGUUGACUCCAAAUAGGAAGAAGCGCUCAUCCAGUUCCUCCGUGAGAACUGGGACAUCUUCGCAUGGAAGCCUGCUGACAUGCCUGGAGUUCCUAGGGGGCUGGCUGAGCACCGUCUACGAGUCGACCCAAAAUUUAAACCUGUGAAAGAACAUCUUCGACGGUCCGCCGUCCAGAAGAGGAAGGCCAUUGGAGAGGAGGUGGCUCGGCUCUUAGCAGCAGAGUUCAUCCGAGAAAUUUACCACUCUGAGUGGCUCACCAAUGUUGUCAUGGUCCCCAAGAAGGACAAGUCACUUCGCAUGUGCAUUGAUUUCAAGCAUGUCAAUCGGGCCUGCCCGAAAGAUCAUUUUCCUCUCCCCCGCAUCGACCAGAUAGUCGACUCGACUGCGGGAUGUGAGCAUUUGUCUUUCCUAGACGCCUAUUCCGGGUACCAUCAGAUCCAUUUGUACGGGCCCGACGAGAUCAAAACAGCUUUCAUCACUCCUUUCGGGUGCUUCUGUUAUGUCACCAUGCCGUUCGGCCUCAAGAAUGCCGGAGCCACGUUCAUGAGGAUGAUUCAGAAUUGUUUGCUCACUCAAAUCAGUCGGAAUGUGGAGGCAUACAUGGAUGAUAUUGUGGUCAAGUCACGGAAGGGUUCCGACCUGCUGACUGACCUUGCUGAACCUUUGCCAACCUCAGGAGGUAUGAUAUCAAUCUCAAUCCGUCAAAGUGCACGUUCGGAGUUCCAGGUGGGAAGUUACUCGGUUUUCUCGUUUCCGAACGGGGAAUCGACGCCAAUCCUAAAAAAAUUGGUACUAUACUCCGGAUAAAACGUCCUGUGCGUGUGCAUGACGUCCAGAAGCUUACAGGAUGCUUGGCCGCUUUAAGUCGAUUCAUCUCUCGCCUCGGUGAAAAGGCAUUGCCUCUUUACCGACUGAUGAAGAAGUCCGACAAGUUCGAGUGGACUCCAGAAGCUGAUGCAACGCUUAUAGAGCUCAAAGCUCUACUCUCCACCUAGCCGGUGCUUGCUGCCCCAAUCAGCAAGGAGCCUUUGCUGCUUUACAUUGCAGCCACAGGACAAGUCAUCAGUACGGUACUUACGGUCGAGCGGGAAGAAGAAGGAAAAACCUUCAAAGUUUAGCGCCCAGUAUAUUAUGUUUCUGAAGUUUUGACUCCUUCAAAGCAAAGAUAUCCUCAUUACCAGAAGCUUAUAUAUGGGAUUUAUAUGACCACGAAGAAGGUUGCAGAUUACUUCUCUGAUCAUUCCAUUACAGUCGUUAGCGACGCUCCACUAUCAGAGAUUUUGCACAACAGAGAUGCAACUGGUCGAGUGGCCAAAUGGGCGAUUGAACUUCUUCCCCUAGAUAUCAAGUUUGAGGCAAAGAAAGCUAUCAAGUCCCAAGCAAUUGCAGAUUUCGUCGCCGAGUGGAUCGAACAGCAACUUCCGACUCAAGUUCACUCGGAGCACUAGACCAUGUUCUUCGAUGGAUCUAAGAUGCUAAAUGGUUCCGAUGCUGGGGUAGUAUUGGUUUCCCCCCGAGGAGAUAAGCUCAGAUAUGUUCUCCAGAUUCAUUUCGAUUCCUCCAAUAACGAAGCAGAAUAUGAAGCACUUUUGUAUGGGUUGCGCAUGGCCAUUUCACUCGGCGUCCGUCGCCUCAUGGUCUAUGGCGACUCAGAUUUGGUGGUUAAUCAGGUGAUGAAGGAGUGGGACAUCAGAAGUCCAGCUAUGACUGGUUAUUGCAAUGCAGUGAGAAAGUUAGAGAAGAAAUUCGAGGGGUUAGAGCUUCAUCACAUCCCCCGACUGAAAAAUCAAGCGGCUGAUGAUUUGGCAAAGAUAGGCUCCAAGAGAGAAGCCAUCCCCAGCAAUGUGUUUUUGGAACACAUCCACUCACCAUAAGUCCAAGAAGAUCCUUUUACAGAUUAAGCCCCGCAGCCAAAGAGUGCCACAGAUCCGACUGAAGUUGAAAUUCCUGCAGUGGUCGACUUAAUCAUGGAAGUUUUGGCAAUCACCCCCGACUAGACGAUACCGUACAUCGCGUAUAUCCUGAGAAAGGAACUCCCGUAGGACAAAGAAGAGGCUCGACAGAUCGUCCAUCGAUCCAAGGCCUUUACAGUCAUAAAGGGACAGUUGUAUAGAGAAAGCGCGACUAGAGUCGGUCAGAAGUGUAUAACACCAGGAGAAGGUCAGAUAAUCCUUGAUGAUAUCCACUCGGGGACCUGUGGUCAUCAUGCAUCCUCUCGGACCAUUGUGGCUAAAGCAUACCGAGCGGGAUUUUACUGGCCAAGAGCGAAUGAAAUGGCAAAAGAGAUAGUCGACAAGUGUGAAGGGUGCCAGUUCUACUCCAACAUGUCGCACAAGCCUGCAUCAGCCCUGAAGACCAUUCCACUCGUCUGGCCCUUUGCUGUUUGGGGACUGGACAUGGUUGGCCCAUUGAGAAUAGGCAGGAGCGGUUUCACACAUGUGCUUGUGGCAGUCGACAAGUUUACCAAAUGGAUUGAAGCUAAGCCUAUCAAGAAUCUUGAUGCUUGCACUGCUAUCGGUUUCGUCAGAGAGUUAACAUUCAGAUAUGGAGUCCCGCAUAGAAUCAUCACCGACAAUGGGUCAAACUUUGAUUCAGACAAGUUCAGAGCUUUUUGCGCCUCUCAAGGCACACGAGUCGACUACGCAUCGGUCGCCCACCCCCAGUCGAAUGGACAAGCAGAAAGGGCAAAUGGUCUAAUUCUCAAAGGACUAAAGCCUCGGCUGAUGCGUGAUCUCAAGCAUGCAGUAGGCGCUUGGGUCGACGAGCUUCCGUCAGUUCUGUGGGGAUUGAGGACUACCCCGAAUCGGUCGACUGGAAGAACUCCGUUCUUUCUGGUUUACGGAGCGGAAGCAGUCCUGCCGAGUGAUCUACUUCACAAUGCACCCUGAGUCGAGCUUUAUAUCGAAGAUGAAGCAGAACAAGCCCGGCAAGACGCAGUCGACCUCCUGGAAGAAGAAAGAGAAAUGGCUAUGAUCCGACCGACCAUUUAUCAACAAGACUUGCGUCGAUUCCAUGCCAGAAAUGUGAAGAGUCGAGCCUUCCAAGAAGGAGAUUUGGUCCUCCGAGUGGAUCAACAGAAACCACACAAGCUCGCUCCUACUUGGGAAGGUCCCUUCAUCGUCACCAGAGUCCUCCACAAUUGAGCGUAUCACCUUUACAAUGUCGAUCGCCAGAUCAAUGAGCCACGAGCUUGGAAUGCAGAACUGCUCCGCCCCUUUCACACUUGAAUUCUCACUCGGAUGAGAUGUAAUAAGAAAAACUUCUGUAGUCUAUUUAUCAAAGACAAGAGCAUUACAAAUUUUCCUAUAAUUGUUGUUGCUUUUGUUUGCGUGUGAAAUCCCCCAGUGGGUGGCUUAGCUGCGAAUCCGUUUUGCCUAAGUUUGUAAAAAAAUCCUAUCGAGUGGCGAGCCAGACUCCCACUCGGAGGCUUAGCUGCAGCUCAGUGCUCACCUAAGUGUUUAAAAAUCAUACCGAGUGGCGAGCCAGACUCCCACUCGGAGGCUUAGCUGCAGCCCAGUGCUCGCCUAAGUGUUUAAAAAUCCUAUCGAGUGGCGAGCCAGAUUCCCACUCGGAGGCUUAGCUGCAGCCCAGUGCUCGCCUAAGUGUUUAAAAAUCCUACCGGGUGGAGAGCAAACCUCCCACUCGGGGGCUUAGCUGCAGUCCAGUACUCGCCUAAGUUUGAAAAAAUCCUACCGAGUGGAGAGCAGACCUCCCACUCGGGGGCUUAGCUGCAGUCCAGUACUCGCCUANNNNNNNNNNNNNNNNNNNNNNNNNNNNNNNNNNNNNNNNNNNNNNNNNNNNNNNNNNNNNNNNNNNNNNNNNNNNNNNNNNNNNNNNNNNNNNNNNNNNNNNNNNNNNNNNNNNNNNNNNNNNNNNNNNNNNNNNNNNNNNNNNNNNNNNNNNNNNNNNNNNNNNNNNNNNNNNNNNNNNNNNNNNNNNNNNNNNNNNNNNNNNNNNNNNNNNNNNNNNNNNNNNNNNNNNNNNNNNNNNNNNNNNNNNNNNNNNNNNNNNNNNNNNNNNNNNNNNNNNNNNNNNNNNNNNNNNNNNNNNNNNNNNNNNNNNNNNNNNNNNNNNNNNNNNNNNNNNNNNNNNNNNNNNNNNNNNNNNNNNNNNNNNNNNNNNNNNNNNNNNNNNNNNNNNNNNNNNNNNNNNNNNNNNNNNNNNNNNNNNNNNNNNNNNNNNNNNNNNNNNNNNNNNNAAAAAUGCAACCGAGUGGAGAGCAAACCUCCCACUCGGGGGCUUAGCUGCAGUCCAGUACUCGCCUAAGUUUGAAAAAAUCCUACCGAGUGGAGAGCAGACCUCCCACUCGGGGGCUUAGCUGCAGUCCAGUACUCGCCUAAGUUUGAAAAAAUCCUACCGAGUGGAGAGCAGACCUCCCACUCGGGGGCUUAGCUGCAGCCCAGUGCUCGCCUAAGUGUUUAAAACUCCUACCGAGUGGUGAUCCAGACUCCCACUCGGAGGCUUAGCUGCAACCCAAUGCUCGCCUAAGUGUUUAAAAAUCCUACCGAGUGGCGAACCAGACUCCCACUCGGAGGCUUAGCUGCAGCCCAGUGCUCGCCUAAGUAUUUAAAAAUCCUACCGAGUGGUGAGCCAGACUCCCACUCGGAGGCUUAGCUGCAGCCCAGUGCUCGCCUAAGUGUUUAAAAAUCCUACCGAGUGGAGAGCAAACCUCCCACUCGGAGGCUUAGCUGCAGCCCAGUACUCGCCUAAGUAUUUAAAAAUCCUACCGAGUGGUGAGCCAGACUCCCACUCGGAGGCUUAGCUGCAGCCCAGUGCUCGCCUAAGUGUUUGAAAAUCCUACCGAGUGGAGAGAAAACCUCCCACUCGGAGGCUUAACUGCAGUCCAGUACUCGCCUAAGUUUUUAAAAUCCUACCAAGUGGAGAGCAGACCUUCCACUCGGGGGCUUAGCUGCAGCCCAGUGCUCGCCUAAGUACGGAACACAUCCCAAUCCGCAAGGACGACGAGGUGCAAAUCGACUGCUACCUUCUCCUUCGGAGCUGCACCACAAAUACAAAGUUAUUUCGAGUGAAGAACAAGUUCCACUCGACAGAUAAUUCAUGAAGAUAUUCAACGAUAAAUCAAGUUCAGAUAAGAUCCAAAGGUCCUAGACUGCAGAUCAAAGUACUCGAGCCUCCAGCUUGACAGAGUUUAACGGUUACGAAAUCCACUCGGCAUUCCGAGGCAAAUUUAAAAGUGAAGCAUAAAAGUUUUUAUUCCUCAGGCGGAGGACUGGAAGGAGCGACAAACUCGUCCAAGUCGAUCCCGUCUGCAAUGCGAGUGGUAGCAGCAAUGAAAGUCUCCAUGAAGUCUUGGAAGUUGUGCUUCCUGGUAUUGGCAACUUGGAUGGCGGCCAACUUUUCUUCUCGCGCCUCCUUGCAGUGGACGCGGACCAGAGACAGAGCGACGUCAGCGCCACAUCUAGCAGAAGAUUUCUUCCAUUCCGCCACUCGAUCUGGGACUUCAUUCAGUCGAGUCAUCAGGGACUCGAGGUCAUUCUGAAGUGUCGUCCUAGGCCAGAGCGAUGUGUCGAUCCGCGACAUCGCAACCUUCAACCGAGCAAGAUAGUCAACAACGCCGGCAACACGAGAUUCCAGUCGGAGCACGUUCAUAGCAGCCUCAUCCUUCACUGGAGAAUUGAUGGGGUCCAAGUCUGUCUCCACUCGACUGGUCUCCUCUUCGAAGUUCUGGCAGAAUUUUGUAAACACAAUUCAAGGAUAAGUCAGUGGCUCUACGCAGGUUUAGUAACUGCAAGUCAGUCAGGCCGGAGUAAUUACCCUCGAGCAUGACAAACAGCUUCUUGGCGAGUCCACCGAGAUAAGCCUCCAGAUCGUUCCUCUUCCCCGCCAGUUCACUUGCCUUGUCAUUCAGAGCUAUAUUGCCAUUCUUCAGACGGCUGACCUCUUGAUUAGCCACGUCAAGAGCAGUUUUCAGCCUGGAGUUUUCCUUUUCAAGAGUACCGACUGAAGCCAAUUUUUCUUCAGCAAGCUUCGUUCUGUUCAGGGCCUCCUUCUGCGCUUCGGCAAGGUCUUGAUCCUUCUUCUUCAGAGCCUCCUCCAUUUUGUCUGCGAAAUAGCAAGUGAGAUCAACAUCGAGGAUGGCCAGAAAGAAAAGACAGUCGACAAAAGCUCACCAGCCAUACCUUUUGCUUCGUCCCUCGCCUUCUGCAAGUUCUCCUGAGCAAGCUUCAAGUCAAGGUUCACCUGGAUCUGUUUGUUCUCCAACUCAGUGUAGCGAGCCACAAGUUCGCAGGAUUUCUGCAAAAAAUCAGUCGACAGACAUCCAAGAUAAGUUGCUUCCGAGUAACCAAGAGACAAUGAUGGCAUUUCUAAGACUACAGCCGAAUCAAAAACAUUCGACAGUAGUCUCGGGGACUACACCCAGUGGGUGCACUCAGCAUGCCCCCACUAGUUCGACCAAAAAAAUCGACUGCCCGCAGUCGACCGUGUACAGUUCCAUUCGACAUGGCCUGACCAGACCGAGUGAAGAAGUUCAACUAAAGCAACACAAUAUAAAGACUACAGUCGACUGCCAGCAGUCCACCGUAGUCUCAGGGACUACACCCAGUGGGUGCACUUAGCGUGCCCCCACUCGUCAAAAAGAUUAAUAGACACACCCAGUGGGUGUACAGAUAUAAAGAUCUUUGGAAAAGAGAUUCUUCAAAUAGCAUAUCCUAACAGAACAAGCGGUGAAUCGACUGACCUGGACGUUGCUCUGAAGAGCUGAGCUCGCGUCAUAAGCUGCUUGGCUGGCUUCCCGAACCACCUUCACUUGCUCCAUCAUGAUCCCCGCCUAGCGUAUAGCCUCUUUAGCGGCACCCACUUGGUCCUCAGGGACGUGGUGUGUGGCAAAAAGCGAAGGCGGAUUUGCAGUCGACGUCGAAGGCCGGACACUCGUCAGAGGUUCAGCGAAGGUCACAGAAACCCGAGUGGUAUCACCACCCUCCCGGACUGCGGCCUCAGGCGCCGGAGUAGUUUGUGGGGUCUUGCCAGCCGGCGCCCUCCUGUUCCUUCGCGCCAUCAGAGGCACUUCGUCGUCAUCAUCAGGGAGGUCAAUGACAUGAGGAGGAGCUACAAGAAAAAUCCAAUCGACCGGAAUUAUAAGAAAUCAUCAGUCGACUAAAAGCAGAGCAUCAGUAAUCAUACCGGGGUUGGAGGUAACAACGUCUUCCAUCUCUUGAUCAUCAUCCUUGGCGGAGAUCUCCGAGGUGGCAGCACUACAAAUUUCGAAAGUCAGUCAACUUAUUCAAUGAGUCGACCAAGAGUCCAUCACGUUCGACAAAGGAAAACAAAUUCUACUAUUACCCAGAAAUGGUGGGGACAGUCAUCCCCAUCUUGGGCAGAGCCUUGGGCGGCUUAGACAGCGUCGCGCGUGGGUGCUUGGGAGCUUUUUCUGUCGGUGCUGGAGAUGAGGUCCGAGGGCGCUUCGACGACUGCCCAACAGGGACAGUCGCCUUACCACGUUCCCGCGCAGGGUCGUGUGUAAGCUUGGAUCGCCGUUCCGAGCGGGGAGGUUCGACUUCUUCCUCCUCCUCUUCACUGGAGUCGUCGUCGUCAUCCCCCUCUCCUUCGUCGUCCGAUUCCCACUCUUCUCCCCCAUCUCCACUUUUGCCUCCACUUGCCUCUCCUUCCUCGGCCCGCUCCUAUGCUCCAUUGGGCGUCGAGUACAUCUCAGUAGUGUCCUAGAGGACAACAAACGAGACAAAAGUCAAUCGACUGAUCCAAAAAGAACAAAUAAAGAAAGAAAAGAUCACAGUCGGAAACGCAAGGUCAGACCUUGUCCACUUCGUAUGUUUGGUCGAGUGGAGGAAUCCUCCUGGCUCCUCGGGGGUUGUCCUUGUUCCUUGUGAUACUCGGCAGCCACCCUUCCAGCAUCUUGUUAGUGACCUCCUCUGGGUGAAUCCGAGUGGUGUCUUCGAGACCCGAGUAUAGCCACAUCGGGUGGUCAUGAGCCUGAAGCGGUUGGAUGCGCCUCCGAAGGAAGACUUCCAACAAGUCCAUGCCAGUCACACCCUCACGGACAAGCUAAACCACUCGACCGACCAGCACCUUGACUUGCGCCUUUUCCUCCAGCGCCACUUUCAGAGAGGCAGGUUUUUGUGCUCGAUUCAGAGAAAAAGGGGGAAGCCCAGUCGACUGUACUGGGGUCACCUGGUCUUUACAGUAAAACCAAGUCGACUGCCACCCACGGACUGACUCGGGAAAAGUGAUAGACGGAAAGGAACUUUUUCCCCUCAUCUGGAUCGCCAGACCCCCGCACAGCUGGAUCACCUGCGUCCGUUCGUCACUCGACUUGGCCUUCUUGACCGACUGAGAGCGGCAAGUGAAGAUGUGCUUGAAGAGUCCCCAAUGGGGGCGGCAACCCAAGAAGUUUUCACGCAAGGAAACGAAAGCAGCAAGAUACACAAUGGAAUUGGGAGUAAAGUAAUGGAGCUGCGCUCCGAAGAAGUUCAAGAAGCUCCGGAAAAAAGGAUGAGGAGGCAGAGAGAAUCCACGAUCGAUAUGGGUGGCGAGGAGGAUGCACUCACCAUCAAGAGGCUGGGGUUCGACUUCUUUCCCCGGGAGGCGCGCAGAUUCGUGGGGAAUGAAUCCCCCCUCGACUAGAUCAUCGAGAUCAUCCUGCCGAAUCACCGACGGCAUCCAGUCGCCCUGGAUCCAAUCCUUGGGCAGAGCAGUCCUCGAGGAAGAUCCGCCCCGAGCGGACUUCUUCCCCUUCCCCUGCACCGUCGCCUUCUUCGCGCGCUCCAGAGCCGAUGUCUUCUCCUUCACCAUCGUCGCCGGCAAAGCUCGAACAGACCUAUGGCACCAAGGUGGGAGCGGAGGUGGCGGAGGAUCUUGUGAAGGAAGGGGGAAAAGUGAAGGCGCACUGUUCGGGGGUCCCGAGCCGGCAGCUUAUAAGAGGUCGCUUCCGAGUGGCUGACUGGUAGGCCCAGGCAAUCCCAUCAAAUCCCGCAACGGGCACGCGUGGUACGUGGCGAAAAAGGUGGCGCGGGGAUCGAGGAGCUUCCGUCCUAUCCCAUCCGAUUACUGCGGCCGCCCCCGUCCCGCGCGCUUCCCGAAAUUCAAUUCCCGCAAAAUCCGCGGGCCAUAGAACAACUCGUCAAACAGAAGAUCCCUUUCACACCGUCACUCGGAACUUCACAAGUAAAGAAAUUCACGCGACAAGAGGCCAAGAAUGGAUCAAGGCGACUGAAAGAAGUUGACGACAUCAUCCGUGACAAUUGAUCCAAAACAAGACGUUCAUAUAACAUGAAGAACCAGUCGGAAAGAUCCCCAACUCUUUCCCCACUCGAACCUCGAUCCAUUCGGGGGCUAAUGAUGAAGCUAUGUACCGAGGAUAGGGGCAUGGACCUGUCCUAAGUACCCUACCCAAGGACAUCCCUAGAAGAAGUCACCUUUCAAUCGACUUGGAGGUAUCCCACUUGACGGAUUCAAGACACUCGACCAUGAAGCAAUCACUCAACCAAGAUCCAACCACUCGACUGCCAGGAGAUCUAAAGUCACCCUGCACGCAAACGGUCGGUCAUUAAGUAGCUUUUAUGGUCAUCAUAGCACUUUAUUACUAGCGUUAUCAGUAACGCCCUACCUUAAUGUACAUUGAACCCUUCAUAACGUGGGCUGGCCGGGGUCCUUGCGCACUCUAUAUAAGCCACCCCCCUCCUCCGAGACAAGGGUUCGCACCUCUGUAACUCAUACACACAUAAUCCAGUCGACCGCCUCCGGGCUCCGAGCCGUAGGGCUUUUACUUCUUCCGAGAAGGGCCUGAACUCGUAAACCUUGCGUCCUUACAACCUCUCCAUAACUAAGACCUCGCCUCUCCAUACUUACCCCCUACAUCACUGUCAGAGUUAGAACCACGGCAGCAUCUUGUAUAUUUCGUCCAAGGCUUCAAGCACUCCUUAUGGUGGCUUCAAAGUCCUGAAAUCAUCACUUGCAACUCCGUUCUUGUUCCCCUUGCGCAUGCCAUCAUCCCCAUGCUUGGUCUUCCUCCAGUGUUCAUCCCUCUUAUCCAUGCCAGGCCCUUCAUUUGUAAGCAAAAUAAAUGUAUCCAAUUUAGGCAGCAUCAUAUUCUCAUGAACAUUAGAAUCAUUACCAAGAAACGGAAGUACCUGAUAAUUUAAUUGGCGUGUGCGAGCUCUAGUGGUUGGUCUAGUAUAUGUAGCAGUAGGGGCUGUGGGUGUAACAAUGGUAUUGAUGUCCUCAUAAAUUGGAGGUAUGGACUCGUCGAGGAUAGGCGUGUCGUCAUGUAGGAGACCUAGCACCAAACAAGAAAACACACUUGGAGUAGAGGUUAAGUCAUUAGAAAUCAUAGUGGCCUGACAUGUCGUGUCAACUACCUCACUCACUAAGUGUUGUGGCUCACUCACUCCCUCUUGGAUGCUCUCACUCAUAUGGUUGGUGGAGUCACUCAAAUGGCUCUCAACCUCACAUAGGAUGUGUGGCAUGCUCUCAUGUGUGGGGCUAGUGGUGGUCACACUCAUCCUCUCAUAGGAAAUGCACUCAAUGUCACAUAUGGUGGAGUCACUCAUCUCACUCAUGGGGUGGUGGCUCUUCUCACAUGGAAAUUGGUGCAUCUCUUCAUAUGUGGGUGUCGGAGAGACGUAGGUGCAAAUGUCUCGAUGCUCAACUCCUAUCGCUGCCUUGGUUGAAGGGAUAGUCCCAUGCUCAACCUCCUCAUCCAUAACGCCUCCAAAGAUGAAUGCAGUAGGGUGUGGCAAAACAUCACUCUCCUCCGAGACCAAGGAUAAGUUCUCAUGUGUGCUCGCGUAGCUUGACUCGGAGUAUGAGUCCAAUAUGGGCGCCGUAUUCAUGUUGUUGAAGAGGUCCGUGCUCGUCGUCGUGGUCGAAGGGGAUGGCCCUUGCUCGACCUUCUUGUCACUGUCUUGUUGUUGGAGGCCCAUAUGAUGUGGCACCUCGUAGCUCGUCUCCAUGACCGAAGGGAAUUUCCCAUGAUCGGCCAUCUUCCUUGAGGGGCUUUCAAAGAUGGAAGUGUCUCCCUCACUUGUAGGUGGUCACCUUGUACUUGAUGAUAUCGAUGUAGGCGAACUCAUGGGAAGUAGGCGAAGAUGUCGUACGUCCAAAGGAGAAGAUGCCUUGAUAACACUUGGCGAAGAUGCCGAAGUGGUGGUGGUAGCCGUAGCUUCAUCUUGGUGUGGUUGUCUCACGGUCUUCUCUUUUGCUCAUGAAGAUUGGCCUUGGCGUGAAGUAGGGCCUGUUGGGACUUGUGCAUUUGCGCUUGGCGAGCAUCUUCAUGAUGAUGGUGUCGUUGUCAUGCUUAAGCUCGUAGUAGAUGUUGUUCCUAAUCGUCGUGCACAUGUUGCUUGGAGGUGACUUUCCUUCAUGACGUUGUGGAUCACGAGUGUGAUGAUGGUUUCCAUGUAGAUGUGGAUGUGGACGAAUUGCGCUUGCAUCACUUGGGCGCUUUGAAGAUGAUUGACUUUCUUGCCAUUUCUUUGAGGAUGAUGAAGGGGAAGAACGUUUGGCCAACAAAGUUUGAAUCUCCUCCAUCCUUGCAUCUUGCUCCUCCUUUUGUGUGGAAAGCUUGUUGUCGAUGUAGUCCCUUUUCCUUGCUUCGGAGUGACGAAUGUCGAUGGAGAGGUUCUCGAUGUGCUCUCGCAAGGUAGAAUGUGUGCCUUGCAUUUGUUGUUGUAGGCCGAAGAUUGACACUUUGGUGAUGUAGUUGUUCGCGCCGCCGUUGUCGUGGAAGACCGGAGAUGAAAUGCCUUUCCUAUCCAUCACAAGAUUCGAGCAAAUAUGAGUGGAAGAAAGGAGAUGUCACAGCCCUAGAAUAUCUGAGUAUAAUAGUUGCAUUAGUGAGCCUGCAUCAUGUUUAAAUUUCAAGGAAAUUGAAAUGAGGAAUAUUCAAAGCCUCAAAAAUUAUUGUAAAGAAGGGCAAGAACCCUUUAAAUUGCAUUCAGUGAUUCCAAAUUGCCUUAAAAAUAGUUUUGAGAAUUUUGGCAAGGGAUAUAUACCAAACCAAGAUUUUGGAACAUUUUUAAGGGAUUAUUUGGUCUCUGAAUUUAAAACAAUAUUCUAUUUGAAUUUGAAAAUAUAUUCAAAUAUAUAUGGGAUAUGUUUUCAAAUGCUCUGUGAUAAUUUAUGUGCCUCUGGAAAAGUCCAUGAGGCAACAUAAAAAUACUCAGAGGAUGUUUUGGCAUUGUUUGAAUUCAAAAUAGUGGCAAAGGAUUAAAUAAAAGAAAACAGAAGGGAAAUAAAACAGAACAGAACUUACCUGGCAGCCCACUUACCUGGCCAGCUGGCGGCCCGGUAAGACAGCCCAGCCCACCAGGGGCAGAGGCAUCUUCCACCUCGCGCCAGUCGGACGCAGGGCGCGUGCUCGCUGCAUGCCGGCCACACGCCACGCCACCUCCUGCUUCUGCCGCUUCUCCAACGAGGCUGUGAACGCCACGCGCCAGCCCUAUACCCCCCAUCACUCUCCUCCCGUGCCUUCCCCCUCCUCUGCUCUCUCUCCCGCCCGGACCCAAAUGCAUCAGAGAGCGCCGCCGUGCACCGCCGUGGCCACAACCACUCCCUCACUCCCUCUCCGUCCCAAGCGUCUCCGCCUCGCCGUCUUCGUCCUCUCCACAGAGUCACGCGGUGCCAGAAGCUCUGCUGCGCUGCCACCGCCGCCGUUUCCUUGUCGGCCACCAAAGAUCGUCAUCGUCGAUCCGCUGCCCCGAGCGCCUCCCCAAGCCCACGGAGCUUCUCUUUGACCCCCAGUGAGCUCUUUCACCGUCUUCCCUUAUCCCCGUGGCAUGUAGCUCGCCGUAGCAUCACUCUCCGCCGUGCCCGCGAGCUUCACGCCGCCGGCGAAGUCGUCAUCGUGGCUAGAGCAAGCCUAGCUUGCCCCUGAGCACGUCAUCGCACUCGUGCUGCUCCCAGGAGCCGAACUAGCCCACCCGUUCGUUCCACCGUGCACCACAACGCCGAUUCCAAGCACUCCCGAACUCCGGCCGCCGCUGCCAAGCUCGCCGGCGUCAUUUCCGGCCUCCCCGCACCCAACCGCCUACACCACUCGACGCGCGCGAGCUCCAGCUACUCGUAGAUGGGCUUCGCCGUUGAUUUGGUCGCCGGAGGAAGAUUUCCGAGCCUCGCCGCCGUGUCUGGCCUCGCCGACGUCGAGUCGCCGGCAGGUUUGACCUGUUCGACCCGGGGGUUUGACCUCCAUGGGGUCAACACACAUGGGCCCGCCCUUGACUAGAUUAGUUUAGGCUCUAAUUAACCCACACCCACUGACACCGGGCCCCACCCCCUAAACUAACCCCUAGUUAAAUUAGUUUAACAAAAAAAUAACUCUCUAUUAGUACAGAGCCUAUGACAUGCGGGCCCUAGAGUCAGGUUUGACGUGGACCCGUCCUGUUGACUAGAUGAUGUCACAGUGACGCGGUGAUGAGGUCAUAAAUGCUUUUCUGGAUUUUAAAUAAAUCAAAAAUGAUUUGUUUAAUUCAGAAAAUAUCCAAAACUUUGAAAAGUCAUAGAAUUUCAACCGUAACUCCAAAUAAGAUAAAUGAUAUAUGAAAAAUUAUCAGAAAAAUCCAAGGAAUCUGUUUAUGGCAUUUUCAUGCAUGUUUGAGCAACUUAACCUCACUGUUUAGUCCAAAACAUGAUAAUGCACUAUUUGAAUUCAUAGUUUGAAUUUGAUUUUGAACCUUGAGUUCAAAUCAACCCAAAACCUUUCUGUUACUAGUUGCAUUAGCUCAAAUCACAACAUAUUGUCAUGUCAUGAUCAUGCAUCAUAUUGUGCAUUGCAUUGAUUGUGCUCUUCCUUGUUUGUCGGUAAUUCUCCCCUCUCGGUAGACGCUGCUCCGACGCUAUGAUCGUUGACACUGAUGAAGACUCAAUGUUAUCUUCAGAAGUGCCAGGCAAGCAAAACCCCUUUGUUCAUUCCAAUACAAUCCCACUCUCUCGCUCCUGCUCUCUUUUACUGCAUUAGGGCAACACCGAUUCAACUGUUACAUGCUGCGGUAGCUGAACCUUUUCCUCUGCAUGACCUGUCAUUGCCACAGUAAAUAGUUGAAACCCACUAGCAUGAGUAGGAGUUGUUUGAGCCCUGAUGUGCCUACUCAUUCAUGCUUGUUUGUCAUGCCUGCUACUGCUUAGAGUUGAGUCUGGUCUGAUUCAUCGGGAAUGAAUUGGAACGUGGUGAACAUGUCCUACCGUUGAGAGCUAAGUGUGUGAACACGAUUUGGUAAAGGUAGUGGUGAGAGGCCAUGUAGGAGUACAUGGUGGGUUGUCUCAUUGCAGCCGUCCUCAGGAACUGAGUCCUGUGUUUGUGAUCCAUGAACAGUUACUACCACACAUUGGGUUCCGGUAACUCGGCCCCUCUCGGCUUAUUAAUCAAUUCGAUCUCUGUCCAGGAGUUGCAACUAGUUUCUGGUGUUUGUAGGUAGUGUUAGUAGUCUACCAAGUGGCACCCGGUACAAGUGGGCUUGGGACAGACUAGGCACCGUGGCACGGUGUACCAAGUGGCACCUGGAUGGUGGGCUUGGGAACCCUACUCACAUCGUUUGGGGCCAUGAGCGACACCCCGGCCGGAUCUCCUUGCGGAUGGAACCCGAAUAGGCGAUAAACCUGGACUAGAGACUUGUUGGUUAGUCAGGUCGUGGCCGACUCCCUCGCCCGGCUUCCGCUAGAAGGUUGCCGAGGUACAUGACAUGUACAGGGCGAUAAGUGGCGAGAGCGUGUGUGAAGAAUUACACCCCUGCAGGGUUAUCACUAUCUAUUCGAAUAGCCGGAUUCCUCGGAUAUGGAAACUUGGACCCCUUGCAUAGCUCAUAGACAAGUGAAAGUGGAUACUCUAAAACUCACAAGAUAAGCGUGAGUGCUAUGGAUGGCAUUCUCGCAGGGAGACGGGAGUGGAUCCAUAGUGGUGUAUUAGUAUGGUGAAUUUGUGGACUCGUGUGCGUCACCUCAAAAGAGUUACUUGCAAUCAUAGUUCAGGUUAGCCACUGAGUCAAAGAUGGCUUGUUGUAGUUAAACUCCACCGCCCCCUUUGUUGAUACCGAUGCAUGUGUAGCUAGUUCUGAUGUAAGUCUUGCUGGGUACAGUUGUACUCACAUUUGUCUAAUUUAUGUUUUGCAGAGAGACUUCAGUCUCACUAGUAGUUCCACGUGGACUUCAACGUUUAGCUUGAUUACUCAGCUACGAUCUUGUGCCCUCGGCAGGAUCUGGUAGAUAGUCAGGCUUCUCCGCCUUUUUCAUUUAUAGAUGUCUGUACUCAGACAUGUUAAGCUUCCGCAUGUGCUUUGAUUGUAUGCUAUGAUUGUUGGGUCAUGAGACCCAUGUUUGUAAUAUCUCGCUCCUCGGAGCCUAAUGAAUAAAUACUCUGAGUCAUAGAGUUAUGUUGUGAUGCCAUGUUGUAUUGCACAUAUUGAGCAUAUUGUGUGUAUGAUUGAAAUGCUUGGUAUGUGUGGGAUCCGACAACCUAGUUGUUUAUCCUUGGUAGCCUCUCUUAUGGGGAAAUGUAGUCUUGUGCUUCCAUGAGCCAUAGUAGUCCGCUACAGCCUGGUUCACCGGAGUCUUGCUAGCCCAGUGCUACUGCUCCGGAACACUUGACUAGCCGGCAUGUGAUUCACUUCGUUCCUGUGUCUGUCCCUUCGGGGAAAUGUCACGCGGUGACAUCCGGAGUCCUGCCUAGCCUGCUAUAGCCCGGUUCACCGGAGUCCUGUUAGCCCAGUGCUACAGCCCAGAUUCACACGCUGUUGACCGACAUGCUCGAUGGUGAUUCACGUAUGCCUGUCCCCGUAAGUUAGUGCCACUUUGGGUUCACGACUAGUCAUGUCGGCUCGGGUUCUCUGUCAUAUGGAUGCUAGGGACACUAUCAUAUACGUGAGCCAAAAGGCGCAAACGGUCCCGGGCCAUGGUAAGACGACACCCGUGGGAAUACCGUGCGUGAGGACGCAAAGUGAUAUGAGGUGUUACCGGCUAGAUAAAUGUGACUUGGAAUCGGGGUCCUAACAGCUUUGGUAUCAGCGCCUGAUUGCCUGUAGGAUUACCAAGCCAAGCUGGUCGAAGUUAAGUCCAGAAAUGCUUUAGUUAUAUAAGGGAAUUGAUUGUGGAAGGGAACGUAGGGCUCUUUUUACUCCUUAUCCUCAUGACCUUCUGAUCUGAGUCAUCUUAUCUUUUCUACAGGGUUAAGAACUAGGCUUCUCUUCUAUCUCUCAGGAUGAUGUGUUACUAAACCAUAGUUGCCUAGGAUUGUUGAGUUCAAGCCUCAGUUCAGUUCCUACUACUUCCAUAUGUUCAUAACUGGCCUCAGAACCUUGAUAUUGUGAUGUUGAGAGGUUAUGCCACCAUCUUUGCAGGUUGUCUCAAAUCAUUUUGAGCAUUUAUAGUCGUUAUGUUGUCCGAGUCAUCCCAGGUUUCUAAAAUAGUCUGAUGCAUUGCAAAUCCCUUCUUAUCGUUCUUGAUGUCCCUUUAGGCCAGUUCAACCACACUGAUCGGUGAGUUGAGGUACUUUAUUGCCUCGACAUAUAUGUUGGAGCCAUUAUUAUGACCCUAGGCAUCUUAGAGAACCACCCAUAAUCUAGCCAUGCUUUAUAUUCCCAGUGUGAUGAUUCUGGCCACCAUUCUCGAGAGCAUCCUGUGAUGCUACUUAGUAGUAGGUAUUCUACUCCUGGGUUUCUGAUCUCGAGAUUCACCCUACUUACUUCAUGUUGAUAGUUUUGCUUGUUCCUUUAGGAUAUUAGUAACCUUUGUGAUAGUCCUCGAGGCUCAUGGUAUAUCCUUCUUCCAAAUAUCAUGAAGUGCUUAUGGCAGAAGUUCUGUUGAAUCAAAAGAUCACAACUAGAGUGAUCUUGAUGAGUUAUCCAUUCUGCAUUGUGAAUCUGCCAGUCCUACCUUUCUGCAUGGAUUACAUGGAAGAAAAAUGUUGAACUUGUUUGACAUACCAAAUCUAUGCAUCCGCAACUCAUAAAACCAUAUGUUCCUUUGAGUUGUCUCUCUUUAGUUGUAUUCUGACCUCUGUCCAUCAAUUGAUAGUCUGGACUAGUUGUGCAUUCAUGUUCAUCGAUGCCUACUAUUCUUGUGGUCCGUCAAGCCAUCCUAUUCAGAAUGACUAGGAGAAACAAACUCCAGCACCUUAUCCAUAUCUAGGAUUGGGUCAAAGCAGUUGUAAUCCGCAAAUCAAAUGCAAAUCCAGUUUUUGAUUCUGUUCUACCUUGGAGUAUUACCAUCUUUAUAUCAAGAUUGUCAUGGAAAUUGCACACCAUCCUAUGAACUCUUGAUACAGUGAUACUUCUUGCCAUCAUUGUUCAUUCCCCGGUUCCCGUGUUUUUAUAACCGGAAUGCCGGCAAGUGAGCCAUGAUGUGUGAAACCAAUACUCCUAGCAACUCCGUUGCUUGGUAGUUAAUGGACAAUAUUCUCAUUCUUAGCAUGUUGGUUAUUAAAUCAUCAUCCCAAGAUUGAUCGUGCUACCUAGUCCUUAUUUCUGGUGCACUCUUCGAUCAAUGAGUUAGGAUUGUGUCAAUUCCUCACUCUUUUUGAUCAUAUCAUCUUGCCCUGAAAAGCAAGAUUGUUCUCGAGCUUAAUAACAUAUCGCUGGUUCGUGAUUUUCCGAAUAUCUCUCGGAAGUAUUACCAGGUUGUCACCUGACCGCUAUGUUGAGUUCGUGAUCAUGUUGGUUUUCCUCCAAACCACCCAUUCUCCAAGAAUCUGUGUUGGAUACCCCGAGCUAGUUGGUUAAGCUAAACAACAACUUGGAGAGUUGGAAGAUGAAAGCUUGUCUGACUUAGUUCAUGAUAAGGGAUAUCUUUUUGUGUGUGUGUGUUGAAGAAAGAUGAUAUCUUCAUCGAUUGGUCCCUAUAAUCAGUUAUUGGACCUAUUGUCUUAUCAACUUUGAUUUGAGUAUGGGCUAUCGUCAAAUCAAAUCAGAACCAACGAUGUUCAUAAUGAUGUCUUACUCGUGGUUGGUUCCUCGAGCAUACACCAUUACAUCCUUUGGGUCUAACCAAUGCUAUCACCGUGUUCACAUGAUGGUGGAAGUCCAGUGAUAUGGAAAUUCUGAUGACUUGCUGUUGAACCCAUCAAUAACAUUUUGUCUCCCCCAUGAUUCAUGUUGAACAUCAACCUAGUAUUGGGAACUUUGUAAGCAAUGCCUUCGUGUUUCGUUCAUGAAGCUUAUGCUUGGAUGGAAUAAGUGACUUCCUCAAAUUCAUGUGCAUUUGGAGCAAGUUGCCGCCAUAAGUUCGAGAAAGAUUGUUUUGUUUCCUCUGGUACCAUCCCAAGUUAGUUAUGCAUGUGCGAAUGUAUUAUAUGGUUUGUAGAUUAAUUACCUCCACUCCAUAUGUACUCCCUAGCACACCAAGCCACUGACUGAUUUGUUCUAGGAAAAGGAGUUAAGUGCUAAUCCAUGGUAAUGCACAAGACUUCGACAUCCCCGGUGAUGGUUCCCCACUUGAACACGAUAGUGUUUUAUUAUAAGACUACUACGUGGUCAUGCUUGUCUUGGAUAGUGUGUUCUCAAGUUUGUAGCAGAACCAGCUCGUGUUUUGGAGCUUGCUAUCGUAGUUCAUUUCCUGAGAAUCUCGCAAUGUCAUCUCGUCGAAUUGUGUUGCAAACUUUCAUUUUUCUUUCUAGACUUGAUGAGUCUGGAAUAUCCUGACACCAACCAGAUCUGAAUCUCAGGCAGAUAUGAUGGUUGGGACGUUUCUCAAGAACUAUAAUAUUGGUCUCUCUGUAACCCGGUACAGUGGAUGUCAUGGCCAACACACCCGGCCGGAGGACUUAUUAUUGUAGUAUCUUGAUUGAGAAAGUUGACCACCUCCCCAUAAGGAUUUCGUAGGAUUAUUCCAAUAGUUGUUCCUUAUGGAUUUUUGUGUUCCCGAAGUCUGACCUUUUACUUGAUGUCCUAGAUAUCAAACCAUAUCUAUGAAUGGAUUACGCUAGCACAUCAAGGAGAACAUUAGAGGCGGAGUGCUAAAUGUCUCUCGGUCGAUCAUCCAGAUUCUGUUUCCUUAGCCUCGCUAAGGGGAAGUCUGAGAAGGUGUUAUCUUCCUUUGUAUCCGCAUUGUCCAUCACUAUUCAUCAUGGUAGUAAGAUUUGAUGCCAGGAUCCUCGACACGGAUGUUGGUAGAACCUUGAUGAAUAUGGAAAUGCUCAAGUUCUUGAGAGCACGCGCAAGCAAAAUCAUCCCUUGUGUUGUCUUCAACAAGGUAGUUCACAUCAUCCAUUCUAGACCGAGUGUGUCGUUCUCCCGAACUCCGUCAAACGAUUGUUCGUAAAUUGCCUUAGGCCUGUAUAAAGAGUUUCAAUGAUCUCUGAAUCAAAAGUAAUUCUUUUUGCCACUUAAGGGAAUAUUUCUAUGAGUCACCUUCCUUAAGAUGUCUUGUUAUGGUAUCAUGGCAAUUAUCUCCUCGCUACUUCGAAACCAUGCACUAUCCUACUCCAGCAUGGAAUUGUCGCCUACCAAUUUGAACCUUUGUCAUAUGUUUCCCAUCCAUCAUCUCUGAUAUGUGUUUUGCGUCUUAGCUCAAGGGAUGUUUCUACGUCUCAUUCCGUGAGUUGAUCUUGUGUUCAUUAAGAUCGAUGAUCCAUUCUUUUGAGGUUGUCUUGCUCUCUUGUCGCCAUGUUGGAUGAAGUUCUCGAGGCUAAGGAUGUCAUGAUCAAAGGUGAUGAUCGAAUCAAUGUUCUUAUGAAGUCCAACAUGGAUCGUGAAGACCGUGUCAGUUCCGUGUCCCCUCUGUCUUCUCACCUCACGUCUUGAAUCUCGGGGCGAGAUUCUUGUUUUAGUGGGGGUGAGUUGUCACAGCCCUAGAAUAUCUGAGUAUAAUAGUUGCAUUAGUGAGCCUGCAUCAUGUUUAAAUUUCAAGGAAAUUGAAAUGAGGAAUAUUCAAAGCCUCAGAAGUUAUUGUAAAGAAGGGCAAGAACCCUUUAAAUUGCAUUCAGUGAUUCCAAAUUGCCUUAAAAAUAGUUUUGAGAAUUUUGGCAAGGGAUAUAUACCAAAACAAAAUUUUGGAACAUUUUUAAGGGAUUAUUUGGUCUCUGAAUUUAAAACAAUAUUCUAUUUGAAUUUGAAAAUAUAUUCAAAUAUAUAUGGGAUAUGUUUUCAAAUGCUCUGUGAUAAUUUAUGUGCCUCUGGAAAAGUCCAUGAGGCAACAUAGAAAUACCCAGAGGAUGUUUUGGCAUUGUUUGAAUUUUGUUUGAAUUCAAAACAGUGGCAAAGGAUUAAAUAAAAGAAAACGGAAGGGAAAUAAAACAGAACAGAACUUACCUGGCAGCCCACUAACCUGGCCAGCUGGCGGCCCGAUAAGACAGCCCAGCCCACCAGGGGCAGAGGCGUCUUCCACCUCGUGCCAGUCGGACGCAGGGCGCGUGCUCGCUGCGCGCCGGCCACACGCCACGCCACCUCCUGCUUCCGCCGCUUCUCCGACGCGGCUGUGAACGCCAUGCGCCAGCCCCGUACCCCCCCUCACUCUCCUCCCGUGCCUUUCCCCUCCUAUGCUCUCUCUCCCGCCCGGACCCGAACGCAUCAGAGAGCGCCGCCAUGCACCGCCGCGGCCACAACCACUCCCUCACUCCCUCUCCAUCCCAGGCGUCUCCGCCUCGCCGUCUUCGUCCUCUCCACCGAGUCAGGCAGUGCCAGAAGCUCUGUUGUGCUGCCACCGCCGCCGUUUCCUUGUCGGCCACCAAAGAUCGUCGUCAUCGAUCCGCCGCCCCGAGUGCCUCCCCGAGCCCACGGAGCUUCUCUUCGACCCCCAGUGAGCUCUUUCAUCGUAUUCCCUUAUCCCUGUGGCAUGUAGCUCGCCGUAGCAUCACUCUCCGCCGUGCCCGCGAGCUUCACGCCGCCGGCGAAGUCAUCACCGUGGCUAGAGCAAGCCCAGCUUGCCCCUGAGCACGUCAUCGCGCUCGUGCUGCUCCCAGGAGCCGAACUAGCCCACCUACUCAUUCCACCGUGCACCACAACGCCGAUUCCAAGCACUCCCGAACUCCGGCCGCCGCUGCCAAAGCUCGCCGGUGUCAUUUCCGGCCUCCCCGCACCCAACCGCCUGCACCACUCGACGCACGCGAGCUCCAGCUACUCGUAGAUGGGCUUCGCCGUUGAUUUGGUCACCGGAGGAAGAUUUCCGAGCCUCGCCGCCGUGUCUGGCCUCGCCGGCGUCGAGUCGCCGGCAGGUUUGACCUGUUCGACCCGAGGGUUUGACCUCCCUGGGGUCAACAAACGUGGGCCCGCCCUUGACUGGAUUAGUUUAGGCUCUAAUUAACCCACACCCACUGACACCGGGCCCCACCCCCUAAACUAACCCCUAGUUAAAUUAGUUUAACAAAAAAAUAACUCUCUAUUAGUACAGAGCCUAUGACAUGCGGGCCCCAGAGUCAGGUUUGACGUGGACCCGUCCUAUUGACUAGAUGAUGUCAAAGUGACGCAGUGAUGAGGUCAUAAAUGCUUUUCUGGAUUUUAAAUAAAUCAAAAAUGAUUUGUUUAAUUCAGAAAAUAUCCAAAACUUUGAAAAGUCAUAGAAUUUCAACCGUAACUCCAAAUAAGAUAAAUGAUAUAUACAAAAUUAUCAGAAAAAUCCAAGGAAUCUGUUUAUGGCAUUUUCAUGCAUGUUUGAGCAACUUAACCUCACUGUUUAGUCCAAAACAUGAUAAUGCACUAUUUGAAUUCAUAGUUUGAAUUUGAUUUUGAACCUUGAGUUCAAAUCAACCCAAAACCUUUCUGUUACUAGUUGCAUUAGCUCAAAUCACAACAUAUUGUCAUGUCAUGAUCAUGCAUCAUAUUGUGCAUUGCAUUGAUUGUGCUCUUCCUUGUUUGCCGGUAAUUGUCCCCUCUCGGUAGACGCUGCUCCGACGCUGUGAUCGUUGACACUGAUGAAGACUCAAUGUUAUCUUCAGAAGUGCCAGGCAAGCAAAACCCCCUUGUUCAUUCUGAUACAAUCCCACUCUCUCGCUCCUGCUCUCUUUUACUGCAUUAGGGCAACACCGAUUCAACUGUUACAUGCUGCAGUAGCUGAACCUUUUCCUCUGCAUGACCUGUCAUUGCCACGGUAAAUAGUUGAAACCCACUAGCAUGAGUAGGAGUUGUUUGAGCCCUGAUGUGCCUACUCAUUCAUGCUUGUUUGUCAUGCCUGCUACUGCUUAGAGUUGAGUCUAGUCUGAUUCAUCGGGAAUGAAUUGGAACAUGGUGAACAUGUCCUACCGUUGAGAGCUAAGUGUGUGAACAUGAUUUGGUAAAGGUAGCGGUGAGAGGCCAUGUCGGAGUACAUGGUGGGUUGUCUCAUUGCAGUCGUCCUCAAGAACUGAGUCCUGUGUUUGUGAUCCAUGAACAGUUACUGCCACACAUUGGGUUCCGGUAACUCGGCCCCUCUCGGUUUAUUAAUCAACUCAAUCUCUGUCCAGGAGUUGCAACUAGUUUCUGGUGUUUGUAGGUAGUGUUAGUAGUCUACCAAGUGGCACCCGGUACAGGUGGGCUUGGGACAGACUAGGCAUUGUGGCACAGUGUACCAAGUGGCACCCGGAUGGUGGGCUUGGGAACCCUGCUCACAUCGUUUGGGGCCAUGAGCGACUCCCCGGCCGGAUCUCCUUGCAGAUGGAACCCGAAUAGGCGAUAAACCUGGACUAGAGACUUGUUGGUUAGUCAGGUCGUGGCCGACGCCCUCGCCCGGCUUCCGCUUGAAGGUUGCCGAGGUACAUGACGUGUACAAGGUGAUAGGUGACGAGAGCGUGUGCGAAGAAGUACACCCCUGCAGGGUUAUCACUAUCUAUUUGAAUAGCCGGAUUCCUCGGAUAUGGAGACUUGGACCCCUUGCAUAGAUCAUAGACAAGUGAAAGUGGAUACUCUAAAACUCGCAAGAUAAGCGUGAGUGCUAUGGAUGGCGUUAUCACAGGGAGAUGGGAGUGGAUCCAUAGUGGUGUAUUAGUAUGGUGAAUUUGUGGACUCGCGUGCAUCACCUCAAAAGAGUUACUUACAGUCAUAGUUCAGGUUAGCCACUGAGUCAAAGCUGGCUUGCUGAAGUUAAACUCCACCACCCCCUUUGUUGAUAUCGAUGCAUGUGUAGCUAGUUCUGAUGUAAGUCUUGCUGGGUACAUUUGUACUCACGUUUGUCUAAUUUAUGUUUUGCAGAGAGACUUCAGUCUCGCUAGUAGUUCCACGUGGACUUCGACGUUUAGCUUGAUACCUCAGCUACGAUCUUGUGCCCUCGGCAGGAUCUGGUAGAUAGUCAGGCUUCUCCGCCUUUUUCAUUUAUAGAUGUCUGUACUCAGACAUGUUAAGCUUCCGCAUGUGCUUUGAUUGUAUGCUAUGAUUGUUGGGUCAUGAGACCCAUGUUUGUAAUAUCUCGCUCCUCGGAGCCUAAUGAAUAAAUACUCUGAGUCGUAGAGUUAUGUUGUGAUGCCAUGUUGUAUUGCACAUAUUGAGCAUAUUGUGUGUAUGAUUGAAAUGCUUGGUAUGUGUGGGAUCCGACAACCUAGUUGUUUAUCCUUGGUAGCCUCUCUUAUGGGGAAAUGUAGUCUUGUGCUUCCAUGAGCCAUAUAGUCCGCUAUAGCCCGGUUCACCGGAGUCCUGCUAGCCCAGCGCUACUGCUCCGGAACACUUGACUGGCCGGUAUGUGAUUCGCUUCGUUCCUGUGUCUGUCCCUUCGGGGAAAUGUCACGCGGUGACAUCCGGAGUCCUGCCUAGCCUGCUACAGCCCGGUUCACCGGAGUCCUGUUAGCCCAGUGCUACAGCCCGGAUUCACAUGCUGUUGACCGACAUGCUCGAUGGUGAUUCACGUAUGCCUGUCCCCGUAAGUUAGUGCCACUUUGGGUUCACGACUAGUCAUGUCGGCUCGGGUUCUCUAUCAUAUGGAUGCUAGCGACACUAUCAUAUACGUGAGCCAAAAGGCGCAAAUGGUCCCGGGCCAUGGUAAGACGACACCCGUGGGAAUACCGUGCAUGAGGCCGCAAAGUGAUAUGAGGUGUUACCGGCUAGAUCGAUGUGACUUGGAAUCGGGGUCCUAACAGGAGAGAACUAUACCAAAUGUACCUUGACCGAUGUUGAGAAUGGAUCAAUGAUCACUCAAUGAUGUAACAAGGAAAUAGCACAAUUGGUACCGAUCUCGUCAAUUUCUCACAACUACAGAAAUAAGUCUUAUGGUGGUGCUCAGUGAGGAUAGUGGCACAAAAAUUUGAUGGAAAAUGUUAGCAAGAGUUAAUAAUGUUGAAAGAGAUUCACAAUUUCACAAGUGAAACAAGUAGACCAAUAGCAAUAUGGGUGGCACACGGAAACACACACACAGAUAGAUAAAUGGGGUCCUCCAACCAAGGAAAGUGCAAAAAUUGUGGAAUCCACAGAAAACGCUCGUGUUGCACAACUCAAGAGAGACGCUAGCACGAUUGCUCAGUAGGCGGAUACGACACUUGUGCACAACCUAUAAGAUGCAAAAUGUAUCAACUUCUAUCCCAAAUAUGCUAUGUAUAUAUGGUUCCCGGUGUUCUGCUCAAGAUGGUCCAAGAUGAUCGGAUAUGACAAUCUUAUAUGCAAUGUGGUAUGAUGUUAUGGCUAUUGCUUACAAGCUCUUUUGUUUCUCUUUUUCUUUGCUUAAAAGCUUAUUCUUUUUUCUCUUUUUUUGAUAUGGGCACAAUGCGAAAUGCACAAACCAAGAUAGCAAUUGUGUAUGUGCGGGAGCAAUCUUGUGACACAAUGGAUGAUAGGAUACCAAGAUGAUACCGAUUGGUAUGGUAUGUAUGCAAUGGAAGGUGUAGAUCGAUGAUCACUAAUGUGCACAAGUAACGUUUCCGGCAAUACUCAAAUGGCUAGUCUCGAUAGGCAAGUAACGCAAAAUGGGCUAGGGGUUAUCAAUGCAAUUGCAAGGGGAAUAUACAAUGGUGUCAUUGAGGUUACCGUUCGUUGUGAUGAUGAGUGGCGGUGUUCUUGAUGUAGAACCGUUCCUAAUUAGCCGAAACACCUUAGGAAACGGAAAAACUGCAAACUCAAAAUCUCAAAUGUCAAAUGUCAAAUGGUGGUAGUGGGAAAGCGGUGGUGGUUUUGUGGAAGCUCAAUGGGAUUGCGGGAGUGCAAUGAUGGGUUAUGCGAGUAGGCAAUGCGAAAGUGGAGGUUAUUGGGUUAUGUGGGUCGGAGUUGAAGGUCACCGUCCCUAAGUAGCCGAAACAACUUAGGAGACACAACUCACAACUCAAACAAAAUUGGGUUAUGUUGGGGUGGCAGAACUGUAUGGUGGGCAAGCCUAUUUGGUAGUGGUGGUGGUGGUUGAUGAAGAAGCAACCAUCCCUAAGUAUCCAAAACACCUUAUGAGACUCCAAUCAUAACUUAAACAACCACUAAUGCUAUAUGGAUCAAAAUGGGUUAGGUUGGGGAAGUCGGUGGUGGUAAUGCGGAUGAUGUGGUGGAAGCCCUAGGCAAAUAUGCCAAAGUUGGAAAAUUUUGAUGGUGUCAAAUGAUGUUGGUGGUAUUUUUGUGGGAUGGGGGAUGUCAAUAGCUUCAAAACGAGCUAAAGAAUGUCAAAAUCGGAGUUCAUAUGAAUUAGUUAUGGGCAAAACAAAAAUCAGCCAAAGUUGAUAUCUACAAGUGUCAGACGUCCGGUAAUGGACGGAUGUCCGGUCAUCGGACAUCUAGUCGGGCUCGUAAAUCCGCUGUUUCAGCUUGGGUUAGGGGUUCCGGUCGUCCGGUAAAGGUCGGGCGUCCGGUGGGUCGGGGUCAACGCGGGAUUUGAGCUCCGGGAUGCGAUUUUGGGCGGAAUUUGGGGAUUUUGGGGUCAAAAUUGAAGAGAUUUCGUGGAUGGAAAGUGGGGAGACUUGGGGAAAUGCUAGAUCCACUUGAAAUCACGCAAAUCCAUGGAUAAAAAUCAACAAAACAUCAUCAAACCAAAAAAUCACAAAAAAAAUUGGGGCUAUUUUUGGUGGGGAUUUUUGAAAUUGGGGAAGAACACAACAAAAUCAAGCUAGAAAAUGGGGGGUAGGGGCUCCAAAUUCAUGAUAAAUCUUGCUUUGAUCCAAGAUGAUCAUGAGCAAGUUAUCUCUGAUCCAAGAUGAUGUAGGGUGGAACCCUAGUGGCUGAUCUUUCAUGAUUUGGAGAGGAUCCCACGAAAAACACGAAGAACACGACAGCAAACGCGAGGUAAAUCAUGAGGGGAAACGAGAAACACUCAAAUCAACAAGCAACGAUCACACAUGUGCUAGAUUAUCGAAACACAAAGAGAUACAUGACCCAAGGUCGACAAAGGAUGAUACAAAUGGUAACUAGUUCAUCUCCGUGAGGAGGUCUUGAGGGGUCAUCCCAUGAAGGGGUCUUGAAUCCAAGGUGGAUCUUCUCUCUAGAGGUGCGGUCUCUCUCGAUGGAGUAGAUCCGUAUGGAUGAGCAAAGCUCUAUCUCAAAUGAGCUAAACCUAUGCUAACCCUAACUAGGAGGAGGGGUGUCCUAUUUAUAGUCAUAGUGCAAAUGGGGCGAAGUGAAGGGGUACAUGGGCCUUGGGCCCGAAAAUGUGCGCAGACUUCCAUCACUUCGGCUCAGUUAAGGUGGCACCGGAUUUCUGGAGACGGCCGGUCGUUGGUCAUCCGGUACUUGUCGGACGUCCGGUGGCUGUAGCGUUUGCUGGCGUGGCUUCUUCUGGCUAGCGUGGCCUUCAGGGACCGGACGUCCGGUCUGGAGCGGUCGUCCAAUGGCUGUAGCUCUUCUUGCAGCUCUUCCUCUUGUUCCUCGCACUUGGUGUCCUUGUCGUCUUGUCCAAUGCUCCCAGCUGUUGCAUGGCCCUCCUCUUGGUUCCUGGUCAUGCAUAGCACAUAUGUUUGAGGUAGUAGCCAUGUCUCACAUGUGGAAAGUGAAGGUUCGGAGAGGAGUGAGUUCACCUUGUGUCCAAUGGCAUAUAGUCGAGGUCUCAUCUUAUGUAUCCUUGGGUCAUGGGGAGUGGUCGAAGUGAACAUGGGGAUGAUCGUAGGAUGCUCCGCAUCAACUAGGUUUUGAGAGAAGAUGGUGCUAGUGAAUAUGUUGAUGAAGACUGACCCUCCCUCGAUGAGAGGAUCCUUGGUGAUGAUGAUGGCUCUGAUUUCCCCCUCACGAGGGGAAGUUUGCUCGGUAAAAUCGCCCUGCCCGAGCCCUAGAUUGUUUCUAUCCAAGUUCCGCCUCGAGAUGGCGGCACUUCGUCCCGAAAGCUUCCUUCUGAUUUUUUUCUAGGUUAAAACCCUACAUAUAGCAGAAGAUGGGCACUGGGGGCUCACCAGGGGGGCCACAAGCUCAUGGGGCGUGCCCAGGGGGGUAGGCCGCGCCCCCCAGGCCUAUAGCCACCUGGUGGGCCCCCUUCUAUUCUUUCUUCAUCCUAUAUUUUUUGUAUUUUCCAAAACAAUUCUCCAUAAAGUUUCAGGACAUUUGGAGUUGUGCAAAAUAGGUAUCUCAGAUUUGCUCCUUCUUGGUCCAGAAUUCCUGUUGCCAGCAUUCUCCAUCUUCAUGUAAAUCUUGUAAAAUAGGAGUGAAAAGGCAUAAGUAUUGUACCAUAAUGUGAAAUAACAGUCCACAAUGCAAUCAAUAUCAACGAAAAACAUGAUGCAAAAUGGACGUAUCAACUCCCCCAAGCUUAGACCUUGCUUGUCCUCAAGCGAAAGCCGAAAUCGAUAAUCAUGACCACAUGCUUAGAGAUAGAGGUGUCGAUAAAACAAAAUACAGGCAUGAGGGCAUCAUGAUCAUCUUUAGAACAUCAACAUAUUGUCAUAUAACUUCUCAUGCCAAAAUGAUAAUUUGUCCACAAGGUAAAGUAUGAACCAAAAACUUUAUUGAAAACUAACAAACUAUGAUCUCGGUCAUUGUGGCAAUUGCAGUUUACCAUAAUAUCAUGUAGAGUCAAUCUAAGAGCUUUUAUUUAGCAAGUCCACAUACUCAACCAUCUUUUAGUCUUUCAUAAUUUCUAACACUCACGCGAUAUUUAUGAGAUCAAAAUUGUAAUCAGACACAAAUAAAGAUAGGGGCUUAUAGUUUGGCCUCCCAACCAUUUACCUAAAGGGUAAUGUCAACAAUAAUAAUUUGUGGUCACCUACAUCCGAGUGGAUAUUUAUGUCUGGUUCUUUCCCCAACACAUAGUGCUUCCCAAAAAGAGAAAGUGUAAAAAGGAAGGGGAAGAUCACCAUGACUCUUGCAUAAAGGUAGAAGGUAACAAUAAAAGAUAGGCCCUUCACAGAGGGAAGCAGAGGUUGUCAUGCGCUUUUUGUUUGGAUUCACGAACUCUUAAUGCAAUGGAACAUCACUUUAUAUUGCCGCUUGUGAUAGAGAACUUUAUUAUGCAGUCCAUCGCUUUUAUUUCUUUCGUAUCACAAGUUCAUAUAAAUUUUAUUUUCCCCACACUAAAAUAUAGUGCAUAUUUAGAGAGAAAUUUUUAUUGCUUGCACCGAUGAGAACUUACUGGAAGGAUCUUACUCAAUCCAUAUGUAGAUAUAGUGGACUCUCAUGGCAAAACUGGGUUAAAGGUUUUUGGAUGCACAAGUAGUAUGUCUACUUGGUGCAGAAGAUUUGGCUAGCAUAGGAUGAGAAGCAAGCUCAACAUGUUAGAGGAUCCAUGACAAUAUAACUUCUAUUUGGACAUAAGGGAACAUAAAACAUUACGUUGUCUUCCUUGUCCAACAUCAACUUAUUAGCAUAUAAUAUUUUAAUGAGUGCUCACAAUCAUAAAGGAUGUCCGAGAUAGUGUAUUUAUAUGUGAAGCUUCUCUUUCUUCAUUACUUCCUAUUAAUUGCUACAAUGCCCAAUAAUAUGUUUGUCAACCCUCAACAAUUUUCAAGCAUCAUACCUCUUAUAUGUGAAGUCAUCACUCUCCAUAAGAUUAUUAUACAUUCUUUUUAUUUCUUUUUACUCUUUUUCUUUUCCAAGAUCAAAGCAAGAAAGCAAAGCCCUCAACUCAAAACUAAUCUUUAUUAUAUAACUCUCACACUCGAUUACAUAGAUAGAUCAUGAAGCAAAAACUUAAAGACUAGAUCGUACUAAAAACUUUUAUUCUACUAGAUCACGAUAUAGCCAAAAGGAUCAAACUAAAAUAAACAAUAAAGAGAAAGAUGUGAUGGUGAAACGAUACCGGGACACCUCCCCCAAGCUUGGCACCAGCCAAGGGGAGUGCCCAUACCCAUGUACUCAAGUCUCCUUCUUCAGAGGUGGUGGUUGGUACCUCAUGAGCACUGCGUUGGUUUUUCCUUGAAGAGGAAAGGGUGAUGCAGCAAAGUAGCAUAAGUAUUUCUCUCAGUUUAUGAGAACCAAGGUAUCAAUCCAGUAGGAGAUCACGCUCAAGUCCCACGCACCUACACAAACAAAUAAGAACCUCGCAACCAACGCGAUAAAGGGGUUGUCAAGCCCUUCUCGGUCACUUACGAGAGUGAGAUCUAAUAGAUAUGAUAAGAUAAUAUUUUUGGUAUUUUUAUGAUAAAGAGAAAUAAAGAUGCAAAGUAAAAUAAACGACAAAGGAAAUAACUAAGUGUUGGAAGAUUAAUAUGAUGGAAGAUAGACCCGGGGGCCAUAGGUUUCACUAGUGGCUUCUCUCAAGAGCAUAAGUAUUGCGGUGGGUAAACAAAUUAUUGUCGAGAAAUUGAUAGAAAAGCGAAUACUUAUGAGAAUAUCUAGGUAUGAUCAUGUAUAUAGGCAUCACGUCCGAGACAAGUAGACCGAAACGAUUCUGCAUCUACUACUAUUACUCCAAACAUCAACCGCUAUCCAGCAUGCAUCUAGAGUAUUAAGUUCAUAAGAAUAGAGUAAUGCUUUAAGGAAGAUGACAUGAUGUAGAGGGAUAAACUCAUGCAAUAUGAUAUAAAUCCCAUCUUUUUAUCCUGGAUGGAAACAAUACAAUACGUGUCGGUACCCUUUCUGUCACUGGGAUCAAACACCGCAAGAUUGAACCCAAAGCUAAGCAUUUCUCCCAUUGCAAGAAAGAUCAAUAUAGUAGGCCAAACAAAACUGAUAAUUCGAAGAGACUUGCAAAGAUAAACCAAUCAUACAUAAAAGAAUUUAGAGGAGAAUCAAACAUUGUUCAUAGAUAAUCUAGAUCAUAAAGCCACAAUUCAUCGGAUCUCGACAAACACACCGCAAAAGAAGAUUACAUCGAAUAGAUCUCCAAGAAGAUCGAGGAGAACUUUGUAUUGAGAUCCAAAGAGAGAGAAGAAGCCAUCUAGCUAAUAACUAUGGACCCGUAGGUCUGAAGUAAACUAUUCACACAUCACCGAGAGGCCAUGGAGUUGAUGUAGAGGCCCUCUGUGAUCAAUGUCGCCUCCGGUGGAGCUCCAGAAAAGGCCCCGAGAUGGGAUCUCUCGAGUACAGAAGGUUGCGGCGGUGGAAUUAGGUUUUCAUGGUGCUCCUGGAUGUUUGGGGGUACGUGGAUAUAUAUAGGAGGAAGAAGUACGUCGGUGGAGCAACGGAGGGCCCACGAGGGUGGAGGGCGCGCCUAGGGGGGUAGGCGCGCCCCUACCUCGUGCCUUCCUCCCUUGUUUCUUUAUGGACACUCCAAGUCUCCUAGAUCACGUUUGUUGAGAAAAUCACGUUCCCGAAGGUUUCAUUCCGUUUGGACUCUGUUUGAUAUUCCUUGUCUUCGAAAUCCUAAAAUUGGCAAAAAACAACAAUUUGGGUUGGGCCUCCAGUUAGUAGGUUAGUCCCAAAAAUGAUAUAAAAGUGUAAAAUAAAGCCCAUUAACAUCCAAAAUAGAUAAUAUAAUAGCAUGGAGCAAUCAAAAAUUAUAGAUACGUUGGAGACGUAUCAAGCAUCCCCAAGCUUAAUUCCUACUCGUCCUCGAGUAGGUAAAUGAUAAAAGUAGAAUUUUUGAUGUGGAAUGCUUUCUAACAUAUUUCUCAAUGUAAUUUUUCUUUAUUGUGGCAUGAAUGUUCAGAUCCGAAAGAUUCAAGAUAAAAGUUUAAUAUUGACAUAAAAAUAAUAAUACUUCAAGCAUACUAACUAAGCAAUCAUGUCUUCUCAAAAUAACAUGGCCAAAGAAAGUUAUCCCUACAAAAUCAUAUAGUCUGGCUAUGCUCUAUCUUCACCACACAAACAAUUUAUCAUGCACAACCCUGAUGACAAGCCAAGCAAUUGUUUCAUACUUUUGAUGUUCUCAAACUUUUUCAAUCUUCACGCAAUAUAUGAGCGUGAGACAUGGAUAUAACACUAUGGUGGAAUAGAAUGGUGGUUGUGGAGAAGACAAAAAGUAGAAGAUAGUCUCACAUCAACUAGGCGUAUCAACGGGCUAUGGAGAUGCCCAUUAAUAGACAUCAAUGUGAGUGAGUAGGUAUUGCCAUGCAACGGAUGCACUAGAGCUAUAAGUAUAUGAAAGCUCAACAAAAGAAACUAAGUGGGUGUUCAUCCAACUUGCUUGCUCACGAAGACCUAGGGCAUUUUGAGGAAGCCCAUCAUUGGAAUAUACAAGCCAAGUUCUAUAAUGAAAAAUUCCCACUAGUAUAUGAAAGUGAUAUCAUAGGAGACUCUCUAUAUGAAGAACAUGGUGCUACUUUGAAGCACAAGUGUGGAAAAAGGAUAGUAGCAUUGUCCCUUCUCUCUUUUUCUCUCAUUUUUUCGGGCCUUCUUUCUUUUUUGGCCUCUUUUCUCUUUUUUUUAUUUUUUUUCAUCCGGAGUCUCAUCCCGACUUGUGGGGGAAUCGUAGUCUCCAUCAUCCUUUCCUCACUUGGGACAAUGCUCUAAUAAUGAUGAUCAUCACACUUUAUUUACUUACAACUCAAGAAUUACAAACUCAAUACUUAGAACAAAAUAUGACUCUAUGUGAAUGCCUCUGGCGGUGUACCGGGAUGUGCAAUGAUGCAUGAGUGACAUGUAUGAAAGAAUUAUGAACGAUGGCUUUGCCACAAAUACGAUGUCAACUACAUGAUCAUGCAAGCAAUAUGACAAUGAUGACGCAUGUCAUAAUAACGGAACGGUGGAAAGUUGCAUGGCAAUAUAUCUCGGAAUGGUUAUUGAAAUGCCAUAAUAGGUAGGUAUGGUGGCUGUUUUGAGGAAGGUAUAUGGUGGGUAUAUGGUAUCGGCGAAAGUUGCACGAUACUAGGGAGGCUAACAAUGGUGGAAGGGUGAGAGUGCGUAUAAUUCAUGGACUCAACAUUAGUCAUAAAGAACUCACAUACUUAUUGCAAAAAUCUAUUAGUUAUCGAAACAAAGUAUGACACGCAUGCUCCUAGGGGGAUAGAUUGGUAGGAAAAGACCAUCGCUCAUCCCCGACCGCCACUCAUAAGGAAGACAAUCAAUAAAUAAAUCAUGCUCCGACUUCAUCACAUAACGGUUCACCAUACGUGCAUGCUACGGGAAUCAGAAACUUCAACAUAAGUAUUUCUCAAAUUCACAAUUACUCAACUAGCAUCACUCUAAUAUCACCAUCUCCAUAUCUAAAAACAAUUAUCAAGUAUCAAACUUCUCAUGGUAUUUAAUGCACUUGUAUGAAAGUUUUUAUAUUAUAGCAAAUUUCCAUGUUGUUCUAAAUUACUCUCAAAUAAUAGAAGCGAAGCAUGAGAGAACAAUAGUUUCUAUAAAACAAAUCCGCCACCGUUCUCUAAAAGAUAUAAGUGAAGCACUAGAGCAAAAACUAUAUAGCUCAAAAGAUAUAAGUGAAGCACAUAUAGUAUUCUAAUAAAUUUCAAAUCAUGCGAGUCUCUCUCAAAAGGUGUGUACAGCAAGGAUGAUUGUGGUAAACUAAAAAGCAAAGGCUCAAAUCAUACAAGAUGCUCCAAGCAAAAUACAUAUCAUGUGGUGAAAAAAAAUAUAGCUCCAAGUAAAGUUACCAAUAGACGAAGACGAAAGAGGGGAUGCCUUCCGGGGCAUCCCCAAGCUUAGGCUUUUUGGUGUCCUUGAAUUUUACCUUGGGGUGCCAUGGGAAUCCCCAAGCUUAUGCUCUUGCCACUCUUUGUUCCAUAAUCCAUCAAAUCUUUACCCAAAACUUGAAAACUUCACAACACAAAACUGAAAAUAGAAAAUCUCAUGAGCUCCGUUAGCGAAAGAAAACAAAACUCCACUUCAAGGUACUGUAAUGAACUCAUUCUUUAUUUAUAUUGGUGUUAAACAUACUGUAUUACAAACUUCUCUAUGGUUUAUAAACUCUUUUACUAGCCAUAGAUUCAUCAAAAUAAGCAAACAACACUAGAAAAACAGAAUCUGUCAAAAACAGAACAAUCUGUAGUAAUCUGUAGCUAACACAAGUUCUGGAACCCUAAAAAUUCUAAAAUAAAUUGCUGGACGUGAGGAAUUAUCUACUAAUCAUCUCCAAAAAGAAUUAACUAAAUAGAACCUUCCAAAUAAAAAUGACAGCAAUUCUCGUGAGCGCUAAAGUUUCUGUUUUUUACAGCAAGAUCAAAAAGACUUUCCCCAAGUCUUCCCAACGGUUCUACUUGGCACAAACACUAAUUAAACACACAAAACACAACCAAAACAGAGGCUAGAUAAAUUAUUUAUUACUAAACAGGAUCAAAAAGCAAGGAAUAAAAAUAAAAUUGGGUUUCCUCCCAACAAGCGCUAUCGUUUAACGCCCCUAGCUAGGCAUAAAAGCGAAGAUAGAUCUAGGUAUUGCCAUCUUUGGUAGGCAAUCCAUAAGUGGAUCUCAUAAUAGAUUCAUAUGGUAAUUUAAUUUUAUUUCUAGGGAAGUGUUCCAUGCCUUUCCUUAACGGAUAUUGGAAUCUAAUAUUCCCUUCCUUCGUAUCAAUAAUUGCACCAAUCGUUUUAAGGAAAGGUCUACCAAGAAUAAUAGGACAUGAAGGAUUGCAAUCUAUAUUAAGAACAAUGAAAUCUACGGGCACAUAGUUCCUAUUUGCAACAAUAAGAACAUAAUUAAUUCUUCCCAUAGGUUUCUUAAUAGUGGAAUCCGCAAGGUGCAAGUUUAAAGAACAAUCAUCAAAAUCACGGAAACCUAGCAAAUCACACAAAGUUUUUGGAAUUGUGGAAACACUAGCACCCAAAUCACACAAAACAUAGCACUCAUGAUCUUUAAUUUUAAUUUUUAUUGUAGGUUCCCACUCAUCAUAAUGUUUUCUAGGGAUAGAAACUUCCAACUCAAGUUUUUCUUCAUCAGAUUGCAUCAAAGCAUCAACUAUAUGUUUAGGAAAAGCUUUAUUUUGACUAUAAGCAUGAGGAUAAUUUAGCACGGAUUGCAACAAGGAAAUACAAUCUAUCAAAUAGAAAUUAUCAUAAUUAAAUUCCUUGAAAUCCAAAAUAGUGGGUUCAUUGAUAUUUAAAGUUUUGACCUCUUCAAUCCCACUUUUAACAAUUUUAGCAUCAAGAUCUAAAGACUCCGAAUUUUUGGAACGCCUUCUAGGUAAAGGUGGCUCAUCUUUAGCCCCAUCAUUAUCAAGAUUCAUAUUGCAAAAAAAGAUUUAAUAGGGGGCGCAUCAAUAACUUUUAUAUCUUCAUCCUUAUUAUCAUGAAAACUAGAAGAACACGCUUUCACAAAGCAAUCUUUCUUAGCACGCAUCCUAGCGGUUCUUUCUUUGCACUCAUCAAUGGAAAUUCUCAUGGCUUUGAGAGACUCAUUGAUAUCAUGCUUAGGUGGAAUAGAUAUAAGUUUCAAAGAAUCAACAUUAAGAGAAAUCCUAUCAACGUUCCUAGCCAACUCAUCAACCUUAAGAAAUUUUUCUUCAAGCAAAGCAUUGAAAUUCUUUUGCGAAUUCAUAAACUCCUUAACACUAGUCUCAAAUUCAGAGGGCAUCUUAUUAAAAUUUCCAUCAGAAUUGUUGUAGGAAUUACCAUAAUUAUUAUAGGAAUUACUAGGAAACGUCCUAGAAUUAAAAUUACCUCUAUACGCGUUGUUACCAAAAUUGUUCCUACCAACAAAAUUCACAUCCAUAGAUUCAUUAUUAUUCUCAAUCAAAGUAGACAAAGGCAUAUCAUUAGUAUCAGUAGGAGCACUCUUAUUAGCAAACAAUUUCAUAAGUUCAUCCUCUUUCCACUCAAAACAUUAAUCUCUUCAAUUGCAUGCACUUUUUUAUUAGUAGAUCUUUCGGUGUGCCAUUGAGAAUAAUUAACCAUAAUAUUAUCUAGGAGUUUAGUGGCCUCUCCUAAAGUGAUUUCCAUAAAAGUGCCUCCCGCGGCCGAAUCUAAAAGAUUUCUAGAAGCAAAAUUCAAUCCAGCAUAAAAGUUUUGUAUAAUCAUCCAAAGAUUCAAACAAUGUGUAGGGCAAUUACGUACCAUUAAUUUCAUCCUCUCCCAAGAUUGUGCAACAUGUUCAUGAUCAAGUUGCUUAAAAUUCAUAAUAUCGUUUCUAAGAGAGAUGAUCUUAGCGGGAGGAAAAUACUUAGAGAUAAAAGCAUCUUUGCACUUAUUCCAUGAAUCAAUACUAUUUUUAGGCAAAGACGAAAACCAAGCUUUAGCAUGAUCUCCAAGCGAAAAUGGAAAGAGCUUCAAUUUAACAAUAUCAUUGUCCACAUCUUUCUUCUUUUGCAUCUCACACAAAUCAACAAAGUUGUUUAGAUGGGUAGCGGCAUCUUCACUAGGAAGGCCGGAGAAUUGAUCUUUCAUGACAAGAUUCAACAAAGCAUCAUUAAUUUCACAAGAUUCAGCAUCGGUAAGAGGAGCAAUCAGAGUGCUAAUAAAAUCAUUGUUUUUUGGUAUUGGCAAAUUCACACAAUUUAGUAUUAUCUUGAGCCAUCAUGACAAGCAAGCAAUCCAACACACAAGCAAACAAGAAAGAGGCAAAAGAGGCAAAUAGGGAAAUAGAAGGGGAACGGAGAGAGAGAGAGAGAGGGCGAAUAAAACGGCAAGGGUGAAGUGGGGGAGAGGAAAACGAGAGGCAAAUGGCAAAUAAUGUAAUGCGAGGGAUAAGAGUUUGUGAUGGGUACUUGGUAUAUUUUGACUUGGUAAUGGCGCCUGAAAUGACUCCUUGUUGGGAGUGAAAUCUUGACUUGACUUGGCGCGAAUCUCCCCGGCAACGGCACCAAAAUUCCUUCUGGCUACCUCUUGAGCACUAUGUUGGUUUUCCCUUGAAGAGGAAAGGGUGAUGCAGCAAAGUAGCGUAAGUAUUUCCCUCAGUUUUUUAGAACCAAGGUAUCAAUCCAGUAGGAGAUCACGCUCAAGUCCCACACACCUACACAAACAAAUAAGAACCUCGCAACCAACAUGAUAAAGGGGUUGUCAAGCCCUUCUCGGUCACUUACGAGAGUGAGAUCUGAUAGAUAUGAUAAGAUAAUAUUUUUGGUAUUUUUAUGAUAAAGAGAAAUGAAGAUGCAAAGUAAAAUAAACGGCAAAGGAAAUAACUAAGUGUUGGAAGAUUAAUAUGAAGGAAGAAAGACCCGGGGGCCAUAGGUUUCACUAGUGGCUUCUCUCGGGAGCGUAAGUAUUGCGGUGGGUAAACGAAUUACUGUCGAGCAAUUGAUAGAAAAGCUAAUACUUAUGAGAAUAUCUAGGUAUGAUCAUGUAUAUAGGCAUCACGUUUGAGACAAGUAGACCGAAACGAUUCUGCAUCUACUACUAUUACUCCACACACCGACUGCUAUCUAGCAUGCAUCUAGAGUAUUAAGUUCAUAAGAACAGAGUAAUGCUUUAAGGAAGAUGACAAGACAUAGAGGGAUAAACUCAUGCAAUAUGAUAUAAACCCCAUCUUUUUAUCCUCGAUGGCAACAAUACAAUACGUGUCGGUUCCCUUUCUGUCACUGGGAUCGAACACCGCAAGAUUGAACCCAAAGCUAAGCACUUCUCCCAUUGCAAGAAAGAUCAAUCAAGUAGGCCAAACCAAACUAAUAAUUCGGAGAGACUUGCGAAGAUAAACCAUCAUACAUAAAAGAAUUCAUAGGAAAAUCAAAUAUUUUUCAUAGAUAAUCUGGAUCAUAAACCCACAAUUCAUCGGAUCUCGACAAACACACCGCAAAAGAAGAUUACAUCGAAUAGAUCUCCAAGAAGAUCGAGGAGAACUUUGUAUUGAGAUCCAAAGAGAGAGAAGAAGCCAUCUAGCUAAUAACUAUGGACCCGUAGGUCUGAAGUAAACUACUCACACAUCACCGGAGAGGGCAUGGAGUUGAUGUAGAGGCCCUCCGUGACCAAUGCCCCCUCCGGCAGAGCUCCAAAAAAGGCCCCGAGAUGGGAUCUCUCCAGUACAGAAGGUUGCGGUGGUGGAAUUAGGUUUUCGUGGUGCUCCUGGAUGUUUGGGGGUACGUGGAUAUAUAUAGGAGGAAGAAGUACAUCGGUGGAGCAACGGAGGGCCCACGAGGGUGGAGGGCGCGCCCAGGGGGGUAGGCGCCCCCUGCCUCGUGCCUUCCUCCCUUGUUUCUUGACGGCCACUCCAAGUCUCCUGGAUCACGUUUGUUGAGAAAAUCACGUUCCCGAAGAUUUCAUUCUGUUUGGACUACGUUUGAUAUCCUUUUCUUCGAAACCCUAAAAUAGGCAAAAAAACAACAAUUUGGGUUGGGCCUCCGGUUAAUAGGUUAGUCCCAAAAAUGAUAUAGAAGUGUAAAAUAAAGCCCAUUAACAUCCAAAAUAGAUAAUAUAAUAGCAUGGAGCAAUAAAAAAUUAUUGAUACGUUGGAGACGUAUCAGUGGUGUAAUAUUCUUGGCAAUGAUGCCCUUCAGGAUGCGAUUUUGCUCCUCGAUCUUGUUGACUUGCUGUUUGAGAUCCAUAAUUUCCUUAUGUAGCUUUCCGGUGACAGUUAAGGCACCGUCCACCCAUAGAUGCAUCCUUGCUACAAAGGAAGAAGCAACACUCUUUUUCAAGUUAUUGUAAGAUAUAAAUUUAGCACCGGGAGGUUUGACCGAAUUCGGGAUGAUUGAGGCAUUGAGUUCAACAUGCAUGGCUCCAGGUUGAGAGAGACAAGUGACUUCAUGGACCUCUUCCAUGGUAUCCACUCUUUUCAGGCCGUCUUCCAUCUCUUCCUCUGUCGACCACCCAAAGGGAUUAGCAUCAUUGUAUGCUCUUGGAUCCGGUGUUGGGUGGGAGACCCGACUCUCCCAGACUGACUCUUGCAAAUACAUCUUGCUAUAAAUCAGCUGCAGAAGUAGCUCGAAACGAAAACAUACGAUAUUGUCGUAAUACGGUGGUCAAAACCUUCGGGAGAUUAUAUAAUGAAUUUUUACUGUGCAAAACAAGUAUUCUGGGAGAAAAUGGAGUCCGGAGGGCACACGAGGUGGGCACAAGCUUGGGAGGCGCUCCUAGGGGGGUAGGGCGCCCCCCAGGCUUGUCGCCUGCUCGUGCGCUUUUUUAAAUAUUCCAAAACGGAGUAAAAUUGCUUUUGGAAAACUUUUGGAGUUGGUUUACUUACUAUAUCACAUACCUAUUGCUUUUCAGGGUUCUGGAGCGUGCUGGAAGGUUUCAUUUAUGUACUCCUCUGGUGUUAAUGUAUGAAUAAUAUUAGUUUCAACAUUUAUGGGCGUGCCUGAUAUAUAAUGUUUGAUUCUUUGGCCAUUAACCACCUUUGGGUUAUUGGCCUCGGCAUUGUUGAUCUUGAUGGCACCGGAAUGAUAAACAUCUUUGAUAAUGUAAGGGCCUUCCCAUUUGGAGAGAAGUUUUCCUGCAAAAAAUCUUAAAGGAGAGUUGUAUAGCAAGACAUGGUCACCUACAUUAAAUUUCCGCUACUGUAUUCUUUCGUCAUGCCAUAUUUUAACCUUUUCUUCAAACAUUUUAGCAUUUCAUAGGCCUGGGUUGUCCAUUCAUCAAGUGAUCUAAUGUCAAAUAACCUCUUUUCACCAGCAAGUUUGAAAUCAUAGUUGAGCUCUUUAAUUGCACAAUAAGCUUUGUGUUCUAAUUCAAGAGGUAAGUAACAUGCUUUUCCAUAAACCAUUUUAUAGGGAUACAUACCCAUAGGAUUAUUAUAAGCACAUAAUGCAUCAUCAAGUUUCUUAGACCAAUUCUUCCUAGAUCUAUUAACAGUCUUUUGCAAGAUCAAUUUUAUAUCCCUAUUACUUAAUUCGACUUGAACACUAGACUGAGGAUGAUAAGGAGAUGCAAUUCUAUGAUUAACAUCAUACUUAGCAAGCAAUUUACAGAAAGAACCAUGAAUAAAGUGUGAACUACCAUCAGUCAUUAAAUAUCUAGGGACUCCAAACCUCGGGAAAAUAACUUCUUUCAGCAUUUUAAAGGAAGUGUUGUGAUCAACACUACUAGUUGGAAUAGCUUCUACCCACUUAGUAACAUAACCAACAGUGACCAAAAUAUGUGUAUACCCAUUAGAGGAAGGAAAAGGUCCCAUAUAAUCAAAUCCCCAAACAUCAAAUGCUUCAAUAAAAAGUGAAUAAUUCAUAGGCAUUUCUUGACGUCUACUAAUAUUACCAAUUCUUUGACAUUCAUUAGAAGACAAUACAAAGUUACUAGCAUCUUUGAAAAUAGUAGGCCAAUAAAAACUAGAUUGUAAUACCUUGUGUGCAGUUCUAUCUCCAGCAUGGUGUCCCCCAUAAGCCUCGGAGUGACACUUGUGUAAGAUUUUUCCUGUUCAUGCUCAGGUACACAACAUCUAAUAACACAAUCUACUCCUUUAUAAAGUUGUGGGUCAUCCCAAAAGUAAUGUCUUAAAUCAUAGAAAACCUUUUUCUUUUGCUGGUAUGUGAAACUAGGUGGUAUAAAUUUAGCAACAAUAUAAUUAGCAUAGUCGGCAUACCAUGCAGUACUAUGAGAAGCAUUUAUGAUAGCUAGUUCUUCAUUAGGAAAUCCAUUAUCAAUAGGUAGUGGGUCAUCAAGAAUAUUUUCUAACCUAGACAAGUUGUCUGCUAUGGGGUUCUCAGCUCCCUUUCUAUCAAUAAUAUGCAAAUCGAAUUCUUGCAGCAAGAGAACCCACCUAAGUCUAGGUUUAGCAUCUUUCUUUUCCAUAUGGUACUUGAUAGUAGCAUGAUCAGUGUGAAUAAUUACUUUGGAAUCAACAAUGUAAUAUCUGAAUUUAUCACAAGCAAACACAACGUCUAAAAAUUCUUUUUCAGUGGUAACAUAAUGAUGUCUGCUAGAACUACAUUGGUAUUUCCCCAAAGAGGAAGGGAUGAUGCAGCACAACGACGGUAGGUAUUUCCCUCAGUGAUGCGACCAAGGUUAUCGAACCAGUAGGAGAACCAAGCAACACUACAUAGACAACAACUGCAAAAAAAACAAAUACUCGCAACCCGACGUGUUAAAGGGGUUGUCAAUCCAUUUCGGGCAAAUGCGCCAGAGAUAGGCAAACGGGCGUGAGAGAGUUGUAAAUAUUGAUAAACCGAAUGCCAAAUAAAGUGCAGCAGGGUAUUUUUGGUUUCAUAGAUCUAAAAAUAAAAGCGAAGGAAAAUAGAUCACAAAAGCACAUAUAUUAAAAAAGAGACCCUGCGGCCGUAGGUUUCACUAGUGGCUUCUCUCGAGAAAAAUAGAAAAUGGUGGGUAAACGAAUUACUAUUGGGCAAUUGAUAGAACUUCGAAUAAUCAUGACGAUAUCCAGGAAGUGAUCAUUAUAUAGGCAUCACGUCCAAGAUUAGUACACCGACUCCUGCCUGCAUCUACUACUAUUACUCCACACAUCGACCAAUAUCCAGCAUGCAUCUAGUGUAUUAAGUUCAUGGAAAGAUGGAGUAAUGCAAUAAGAACGAUGACAUGAUGUAGACAAGAUCUAUUUAUGUAGAAAUUGACCCAAUCUUGUUAUCCUUAAUAGCAAUGAUACAUACGUGUCAGUUCCCUUUCUGUCACUGGGGUCAAGCACCGUAAGAUCAAACCCAUCACAAAGCACCUCUUCCCAUUGCAAGAUAAAUAGAUCAAGUUCGCCAAACAAAACCCAAAUAUCGGAGAAGAAAUAGGAGGCUAUAAGCAAUCAUGCAUAUAAGAGAUCAAAGAAGACUCAAAUAACUUUCAUGGAUAAAAAGAUAGAUCUGAUCAUAAACUUAAAGUUCAUUGGAUGCCAACAAACACACCACAAAAAGAGUUACAUCAUAUGUGAUGAGGACAUCAAUACCAUUGUUACAACCACAACCCUUGCUGCUAUACAUACUGGACCAAUUACUAGAGCGCACGCAAAUUAAAUUAUCAGGUACUUUCGUUUCUUGGUAAUGAUUCUAAUGUUCAUGAGAAUUUGAUGCCGCCUAAAUUGGAUACAUUUGUUUUGCUUAAAAAUGAAGGGCCUGGCAUGGAUAAGAGGGAUGAACACUGGACCAAGACCAAGCAUGGAGAUGAUGGCAUGCGCAAGGGGAACAAGAACAGAGUUACAAGUGAUAAUUUCAGGACUUUGAAGCCACCAUAAGGAGUGCAUGAAGCCUUGGACGAAAUAUACAAGAUGCCACUUCAUAAAUUUCAUCCAGAGGCUGUUCUAGGUGCCGCGUAACCUUAUUAUUGGGCCAGGCCCAUGUAUUUUUGAAAUACUAAAGUAUAGGCUAUUUUUAGAGUCCGUAUGUGUGGGGAAACAAGAGUUAGGGUUGGUUUCAGUCCCCUCCCCCAAGGGCCACAAAAUUCCCCCUCUUCCUCCAUAUAUAUACAUCCCUUAGGGAAUCGUUUAGACUUUGGGUUUUGUUUAGAUUAAAAGUUCACCAUAGCUGCAACUUCGCAUAUUUCGUUUGUGUUCAACGACCAGACAAAGACGUCACAGAACCCCACCUUCAUCAAUAAAGCUUUCAUCUUAUAUUCGUAAUAUCCAGAUUGCAAUCUUAGUUUCUUGACUGUUCUUCGUUUGCUUGCAGGAAAUAGACCUUCGUAGUCAGGUUGAUCAUGCUCUAGCGUGGUCAAUAACCUCUUGGAGUUGGUUUAGCGAUUGCUAAGGCGCGAUGUCUUUGCACGUUCGUAGUCGGAUCGUCAAAGUCUACUCCUCCAAAACGAUAAUCACCAUCUCAUCGAAAGACGGGUCACAUUUGCCUCUAUCAAGUGGUAUCAGAUUUCCAGGUUGCUCGGUGAUAUUUUACAGUUUUCCUAGUUUAGGUCGAGUAUGUUAUUCAUACCUAUAGUCCACGAAUAAGCAAAAAAAAA